UUUUAAAAAAGUCAGUGUUCUUCCAUGUUUGGGAGAGAAAGUCUUGAACAUACUCUUGACCGGUGAUGAUGGUGAAGGAAGAUAUUCAUUUAACUUCAAAUGAUGUUUAGAGGAAAACUUUUAGAAAUAUGUAAUAAGAAAUGAUGUUGAUAUUGUAUUUGGCUAUUGUUUUUUUAAUUAAUUUUUUGAAUUUUUUUCGUGAUUUCGUCGUCUGAGUGCGGUGUUGUGUUGUUCGUCGUCUUGUACGACGUUGUUUUGAUUUAGCGUCUUGUUGCGGUGUUCGUUUGGUUCAUGUUGAAAAAUCAGCUUCAGUCAAUCACAGAUUCAAUCAAUGAUUUGGACAUCAACGUUGCAGAUCCGGAAGCAUGUGUAUUCUGGUGAUUUAAAUUUUAUCAUAUUAUUUAUAGGCAUUUUGUUGUUGAAUGCUAUUAACUUGGAUGCUGUGAGUUUGUUUGCAUAUUCACCCUUUAUGUUUUUAGCGAUCUUGAUUUUGAUAUAUUCUAUCAAUUUGAACGAAUGAAUAUCUUUUUGUUUUUGUCAAAAAAAAAAAAAAAGUCAAUUUUACUUAUAAUUAGGAAUUUUAUUGCCAGGUUUAUAAUUUAAAAUGCAUGGAUAGAAUAUAUAUUUUUUGACAGAAUGGAUAGAAUAUUUUAUUGUUACUUUUUUUUUUUGAAUAAAAGUAUAAGACUUAAAUAUAAGAUAAGAUAAAAUUUAUGCAAAAUUUUAUCACCUAUCAGUAUACACUUCAAUAUUGACUCUUCUAUGUAACGCCCAAUCCACAAAGUUCCAAAACGAAAUGUCUGAACAAUUGCCAUGAGACUUCUUAACCAACGACAUGGAUGUGGGCAUAAAUACACAGCGAAUUAUUUGUUUCAUGUGCCACUCAACUCAUAAUCAUCACCAUGGCAAACACAACAACCGUUGAUGAUUCCUUCGCCAACCAAGUCCAACUUAUCGAUGGUGAAGGAGUUUUCAACGUCACUGGUCUUGAUAAUUUAAUUAAAACUUCAGAUAUGGCCAAUACUGGUCUUGAUUAUGUCGUUGUUAGUAUUAUGGGACCUCAAUCUAGCGGUAAUAGUUUUACUUUCUUGAAGUGCCAUUUGGUGAAAGUGAAAGUUUUAUUAUGCAGUUUUAAUGGUUAUGGUUAUGUCUGUGUUGUGUUGUGUUAUCUAAUUUUAUGGUUCGGUUUUGUUGUUUGAGCAGGGAAGAGUUCUUUGUUGAAUAAUAUUUUCUGCACUAAAUUCGAGGAGAUGAAUGCUCUUACUUGUAGGUUAGGGUUCUGAAUUGCAUUGAUAGAGAUUUUGUUGUUGGAUUUGAUGAAAUUUGUUUUUGUUUUGUUAUAAAUAUUUCAACUUUUUCCUUUUAGUCCCUCUAAAAUUUCGCUUCGAUUUUUGGUUCUCUAAAAGUUUCCCAUAUCGUGUGUGUCAUUCAAUUUUUUGUUUUGUUUUUGACGCUAAAUUUUUUACGUAUAAUUCAUGUUUUCCUUUUUUUUAAAAUUGCUCUUUACACUUCAAAAAAUGCUCUCCACACCCAAAAAAGCCCAAAAUACCUCUAACGACGAUUAACUGUCAUUCACUCAUUAAGGAGAGAACGACAGUUAAUUGCUGUUGGGAGUAUUGAAGGUCUUUUUAGACGUGGGAGAGCAAAUUUGUUGGUGAGAUGAACAAUCAUCAAUUUUUUUUGGAGGGAUUCUUAUAUUAUGAACAUUCUCAAAAGAAAAAAAAAUCAUAAAAAAUUUAAAAUAUAAGUAGGAACAAAAGUGUGGGCGGAUAACUUUUUGCGGUCUAAAAUGAAAAAAAUUAGGAUAUUUAUAGACCAAAAACAUAUUUAAUCAUUUGUUAUAUGAUAAACGAGUAAUUGAAUAUCUUGCCGUUGCAGAUCUCAAACCACCAAGGGUAUUUGGAUAGCUAAGACUGGAAUUAAACCGUGCACAUUUGCUCUGGAUAUAGAGGGUACUGAUGGAAGGGAGAGGGGUGAGGUAAUAUAUUUGUUCUAUAAUAGGGUAUGAAGAAACCUUCAUACCCUAUUAUAGGAUAUUGUUUUAUGCAUGAAUUGCAAGACCAAUCUUAUUAUGAAUUUUAAGAUGCAUUACCAACAAAAAUACGCCUUUUUAGAGUAAAAAAACAAGUGGCAUAGCCAAAUUAUAAGCCAGUAUAUCAUCUUAGUGCCUCAAAAUAAUUCAAGAUUCAAGUACUAAAUCAAGUGACAAAAGAAAAGUAUUUGGCUAUACAAAAUUGACAAAAAUUUGGGGCAACACUAAGUUUAGGUAGUGAUUCAUUACAAUUAAUCGAGAUUCAUCUUAAUGUAUUGGAAUUCAAGAUGAGAUUCAUGUUCAAAUUAGGCACACACUAGAGAUUCAUAUCAAUUAAAUUUAGUUUUGCAUCGAAUCGAGAUACAACUAGCAUUUAUCGUAAGAUAUUGAUAACCUGCAUAGUUUAUGUUCUAUUAUCAAUUGGUGUGGUUCAGUUUAUUAGUUAUUUUAGGUUUCCUUUUGGAUACAUGAUGAGAAUGACUUGACAGUAUAAGAAAAUACCAUAAGUUCAAUGUUCAUGUAUCGUAAGAGAAUGACUUGGUGUUCACAUGUUAAUUUAGCCACAUUUUGUUAAAUCCUUUCAUGGUUGUUCUAGCUUCACUUUACUAACAAGCCUGUUUGCUUAUUUGUGUGUUUUUAGUUAUGUGAUAUUAUUGAGCUGUUCUAUCUCAUUGUUUCAUGUACAUUAAAACUCACUAUUGUUUUCUUUUAAUUUAUCUCUCAGGAUGAUACCGCUUUUGAGAAGCAGAGUGCACUUUUUGCUUUGGCACUAUCAAAUAUUGUUCUGAUAAACUUGUAAGAUUUUAAGCCUUGAUUGAUGAUUUAUAUAAUAUGAAUGCAACACUUGGGUGAUCCAUAAAUUUAGGCAUCAUCUUUUUGUAGUCUUUAGAAACUAGCUUGACAUAAGUCUAUGUGUGGAAUCACAAAUCUCUCUAUCUAACCGGGUAUCUUAGUUUUGUCCUUUAUUUUAUGAACAGGUGGUGUCAUGAUGUUGGUCGUGAACAAGCAGCCAGUAAACCUCUUUUAAGAACUGUUUUUCAGGUAGUUUGCAGCCAUGAAUUUGCCUCUGUUUGGUAUUCAAUAUACACUCUGACCUUUCUUUUAUUUUUAGGUCAUGCUGCGUUUAUUUAGUCCCCGGAAGAUAACUUUGAUUUUUGUGCUACGUGAUAAAACAAAGGUCUAUACAAUUUAUCCUUUAUUGAGAAUGUUUCCUUCUGUUCUAUACUUGUAUUCAAAGAUUGAUCAUGUUUCUUGCUCACUACACAGACUCCGCUGAAGAUUUUGGAGCCUAUUCUAAGAGAAGAUAUUCAAAAGGUGGCUAUUAUUUCAUCUCAUUUCUUAGGUUUUUCAUUUGUUUUCUAGUUUUAUUCAUCAACAUUUUUAAAUCAUGAUAUGAAUUCCUCAGAUUUGGGAUGCAAUUCCAAAACCUCAAGCUCAUGCACACACCCCUCUUCAUGAUUUUUUCAAUGUAAGAAGAAGAUCUAUCUAUCUCCCCUUCCUCACAUGCUUGUUUGACUGUUUAUGUAUAUGUCUUGGCAUAUGAUUAAUAACUCUUCAUUUGAAGGUGGAAGUCACUGCUUUGUCAAGCUAUGAGACCCAAGAGGAGGAGUUCAAAGAGGAGGUACCCUUUCAUGAGCUGUUGCUUGCUUUAUGGAGUUUGUUCAACUUAUCAUUCUAGUUUGUUGAACUAGAAUGAUUUCUAACUCCUAUUGCUUCCAAACACAUUUCUGCUGAUCGACAAUUUUUUGGCUAUAAAACAUGCAUGCAAAUAAUGAUUUUUAUUUUAUUUUAACUUUUUGCAUCAAAACUUCUUCAUCGUGACUUUUAUUUGUAUAUACUCGCUUUGGUGUAGAAUAGAUCACAUUGUUAUGCUUUUCAUACAGGUUUCUGAGUUACGGGAACAUUUAUACCAUUCUAUAGCAUCUCGUCUCGCUGGUGAUCGGCGCGGUGCUGUCCCCGCAUCUGCUUUUUCUAUUAGUGCACACCAUAUAUGGGAAGUCAUACGAGACAACAAGGAUCUUGAUCUCCCAGCUCAUAAGGUGUUCAAUAAACUCAUUUUCUGAUGUAACUGUGGUUCAGCUGAUCAAUAAUAUGGUAUUUUAGAUGCAAUAGUGGUGUGGUUUUCUUAUGGAUUUGCAUUUUAUAACAGGUAAUGGUUGCAACUGUGCGUUGUGAAGCUAUUGCAAAAGAAAAGCUUGAUCACCUACGUUCUGAUAAGGUAUUGAUCCAUAUCUCUUCUAUUUUACCUGUCUAAAAUGCAUCAGUUAUUUUAGAAAUCAGUCACUAUAUGAAUGAAUUUGGCUUAGGGUUUGCUGGAGUUGAAGAAAGCUGCUCAAUCGGGUUCAGCACAAGGCUUUGGAGAAAAAUUGAGCUCCAUUAUUUCUACCUAUCGUUCUCGGUAAGUUCCAUGCUAGGUUUAUUUAUUUUUGUUUUAUAUUCGUAUGGCGAUAAUACAUGGUUUCAACAGUUAUGACGAGGAGACGGAGUUCUUUGAUGAAGCUGUGAGAAAUGCAAAAGGGAAGCAAUUUGAAUCAGAUGCAUUGAAUGUAAGGCUGCCUGCUACCUCCAAAGUCCAAAGGCUUUCUUUCUUUUUUAAUUCCUAAUUUUGAAGGGAGAGAGUGUGUACAUGAAGAACUUGUUGGUAUUUUAUUUAAAGGAAAUCACAUUUUUUUAAAACUAAAAGAUUUCUAAUUUUAUUUUUUAAAAUAUUAUGUAGUUUGAAAUAUGCUUGGAAUCUAAAUAUAAUGGCCUAAGAUAUUAUCUAGAAAAAUGUAUGCUAUAAUUUCUAUUUUUAAGCAUAAACUUUUCAUAAUUUUUUUUGUUGCUUCAACUUUUCAGAUAGUGUACCCUGUUUAUACAAAAAUGAUAGAACAUCUAUGCUCUAAAGCUUUAGACGAUUUUAACACCGAGCUGAUUCGAUCACUAAACAGUGGAGAAAGGUUUGAUUCAUCUGUUCGCACGUGGACUCGAUGUAUUAUGGUUGAGUUUGAAAAAGUAUUUGCUGGUAAUAAUCAGAUAGGAUUCUUCUUCAUGUUAGCAUAUACAUUUUCUUUUAAAAUUUACAUCAGGUGUCAUUUGGUCAUUCCCAACUGAUUGUAUUAUUUUACUUUUACACUUAUUUAUACUUUUCUGUGUAAUGUGUUAUAAAUUUCAUUAUUUAAUAUUUAAUCAGAAUCUCUAGGGAUUCAUAUUCUUCAAUUUCGUUGAUACAUAAAGUCUGGCUCCUGAUUUGCUUUUGUAGGUGCUCGCAUUUUAUUUUUUCCAUUGUCAUAUAAAUUAAAGGAAUGAAAGAACAUUACUUACACCUUUACAGGAGCGUAUUCUCUCUUGAAUUGAAUUACUUCCAAUGGAGUUGCUAAUUCGCCUCAGUCAUCAUAUAAACUGACUUAUAUACAUGCUCAUUCUUAUUUUGUUUUGUAUUUUCCAGACGUUGCUGUAAGACAGGCAAAUUGGGAUGCUUCGAAAGUGCGAGAUAAGCUUCGUUGUGAUAUCAAUUCACAUGCUUUAUUUGUGCGCAAUGCAAAAUUACCGGAGAUAACAACUAGUUUUGAGGUAAUAUUUUUGUCACACAGCCACUAUCAAAAUCUUUUUCCACUAUGUGGGUCGGGUGCAUGAAUCAUAUGAGAUUUAAGGAUUGCAUUAAUUAUUAUUUUUUUGGGGAUUUUAGGGCUCCUAGAGGUAAUUGGGAACAAGGAAGAAAAUCAUAUUUUAUAACAUUUUAAAGAUUACAUAUGCUUCUACAAAUAUUUCCUUCAUGUCUAAAUCACCUAAAACAAAACACUAGCAUCUUUUCUACAAUGGGAGCUAUUCCAACUUUCUCUUUAAUGAUAAUUGUUCGUAGUACUGCAUUGUUGGGACUAUAAUAGAUUCGUUGGUUGAGCUGAUCAAUGUAUUAUUAUUGUCUAUAAUAUCUUUGUCAACCACUAAAUUAUCUCCUUUUGCAGAAACAAUUGGCCAAGGCAUUGGCUACACCUGUGCAGUCCCUCUUUGAAAAAGGAGGAAAUGACACCUGGCUUUCAAUAAGAAAUCUUCUUAAAUGUGAAACUGAAGUUGCUGUAUCAGAAUUUGUAGCUCGUGUUGCUGGUUUUGAUCUCGAAAAAGAAACUGUUGAAAAAAUGCAACAAGACUUGAGAGAAUACGCUAGAGAAUUGGUGGUGAAUAAAGCACGAGAAGAAGCUGGAAAGGUUCUGAUUCGUAUGAAAGACAGGUAAUGUUGUUGAAAAGAUACAAAUACUAUAGUCAUUCAUUUGGCCAAUGUGUUAAAAGAAUUUGUGGAAUAAGAAUUUGGUAUCUUGAAGAGAUAGAUGUAGCUGAUCCACUUAAUGUGAUAAUGUUUGGUUGAUAUUGUUAUUAUUUAUCUCCGUGUGUUUGUCUUGGAGGGUGCCAUUUAUUGUUCUGUUAUGGCAAAAGAAAUUUCACUAUUCCAGUUCAAGUUUACUCAUUUUCUGAUUUAAUUUUGUUACAUACUGGGUUUGAUAAUGAUUUUCAGGUUCUCUACAGUGUUUGAUUAUGACAAUGAUUCCCAGCUUAGGGUUUGGACAUGGGAUAAAGAUAUCAAAGCUAUUAAAAAAGAUGCUUACUCUGCGGUAAUUGAUAGCCUGUUCAAUGAUAAUCUUUCAACUUGCUGUUACUUGAUAUUGUAUUAUUAACAACACUUUUUAAUCACCAUGUAAUUAAAAUGUGUUUUGCCGUGUAUCAGUCUUUGAAGCUUCUAUCCGAUAUGGUUGCUAUACGCUUGGAUGAGAAGCCAGAUCAAAGAGAAAGAGUACUUGAUUUAAAAUCUUUCCUGUAUACAGAUAGAGAUCUUUAUCUUUAUCUACUGGAUUCAAUUACAUGGAAGGUUUCUCCUGGAGAUAUACUUAUCUCUCCAGGGCAGUGCAAGUCAUUGUGGAGACAAUUACAAGAUGAAACUGUGGAUACAAUUAGACAAGCUAUUGCAGCUAAGGUGAAAUCAUUAGAUCACAUUCUUGUCUAAGUUUUCCGCAUUCCCUUUUCUGCCCAACUUUGUUGGCAGUAUGAGAUAUAAAACCAUUUAUAUGCUUUAGCCUAACAACACAAACUCUUGGGAUAUACAUUAUACGGUAAUAAAGCUUCCAUCAUGAUCAAGUUAAAUUCAGAAAUAAAGUUAAAUUCGAAGUAAAGAGGGCAUAAGCCUUGUCCACACUUGAAGUGAAAAAAAUCGGUUUGGUUAAAGUCUUUCGUGCUGGUAAUAUGUGAAUAUAUAGUGUAUGCAACUAGAUUUUGUUUUUUUUUUGUUUUUGUUCACCUUUUUCACUUUGGUUCUAUUUACUUUUUUGUUCUGGAUUCAGAAGGAGGACAAAAAACAAAUGGCAGCUACUGCUCUACAAGUAGCCACAGCGGGUGUAUAUCUAGGGCUCGCCACGAUGGGUGUAUAUCUAGGUUGAGGCUAGAGAACGGAUCAACAUAGGUGUUUCCAUCUGUUCACUUCACUAGUUAUUUGUUAGGAAGUUGACCCUCUUAUUUUAAGCUCUUAGCUUUGUUUUGUCUUUCUAUUCCUGUUUUUGUUUAACUUGAGGGUUUUGGUGUUUGUCUCCCUUCUCUCUCUGUGUAUAUUUACUAUUUUUUCAUGCCCGCAACGCACGGGGAGAAAAGAUGUUUGAAUAAAAGUUAAUUCAUUGUUAAAUAUUUGAAUAUUUUCUCUUCUAUAAUAUACUCAGUCUUCUUCCCCAACAUUCAUAUUAAACACUUUAAAACAAAAGUGUUUUUAACCACAAGAAAAUAAUAUACUUGUGCGAAAAACUAUAAAAGCAACUAUUUGUAAUUAUAUUUAACCACCAGUUUAAAAUAAAAACGUUAUUUGAACUGGAAUGAGAGAAGACGUAAGAACUUUUCUCAAUUUGAAUUUUGAAGAUAUAUGUAUAUGUCUGCCCUCCAGUUACAUUUCCAUCAAACCGCUCUUUUGGCUAGUUCUAAUAAAGCUAAUCUAGCUAGUUCCAAAUUUCCAAUAAUUUUUCAUAAGGAGCAAAAUGUACUUUAAACUAUUAUUUUCAACUCGGGAGCAAAUUGUGACUUACACUCUUAAUAACAUAAGAAAGAGAGCAAUCCUUAAAAAAAAAAAUUAAAAAAGAGAGCAAGUUAAUAGCAUAUCCAUAUGGCUUACACAUAUUAUAUAACUUUAUCCAUUUUUUCCAAUUAUUAUUUCAGUCCAUAUUCAAGGAGUAAGAAAAAAUAAUUUGACAUCAACAACAUAAAAUAAAAAUUCAAAAUAAACAAUAUAGCACAAAUAGAAAAUAAAGAGUUAUCAUAUAAAAUAAAAUAGUUUCUACCAAAAAGAGUGAAAUAAUGAUACUUGUUUUCUUUUUAGCAGCCAUGCGAUAUCAAGUUGUGUUGUAAAGGAUAUCUGUGCGUAGAAGGUGUCAAAGUAGAGUUGUUGUUGUAGAAAGAUUAGGCAUAAAUUAUCUCUAGAAAUAAUAUUCAAUAUAUAAAUAAAAAAUCAAUUAAAUAUAAGCAAAAGAGUGAAAUCAAUUAAACUUAUCUUUCUUGAAAUUGCGGUGAUUUGACGUCGUCGACGGAAUCGAAGUAAACAAUCAGGAAAUCAUGAAAGGAGACAACCUGCCAACCAGUAAUCCAUUAUAUAACAUGAGGCGUGACAAGUCACUGUCCUUAAGGAUUUAUUCGCCUCAUAAACACAGGAGAUGCAACCCAGAAUUAAAAUAUUUGAGAGGAGAGAAAACUAUAUUUGAGAGAAGAGUUGUUUUGGUUGCUACUGAUCAAAAGGCUAGAAAAGAAAAAACUUAAUCCUCUUUUUCUUUUUUCCGUGGAAAAAAUGUAACUUCCUUCUUCUUAUUCUUAUGAUGUACGUGUAUCAUUAGGCCAAAUGUAGUUAUUUAGUCAAGCAAGCAAAAAGCCUUAAUAAUAGCCACAUUUAAGAGAUGUCAAUAUAGAAAGGCAGUUACAAAAUAUAGAAUUAAAAACAUGUUACAAAACCAAGUCAAAGUUUAUAAUUAAUAAUAAGAUAAUUAUUUUCUAUUAAAAUAUUUUUCUAUAUUUCUCAAUAGAAAAUAUGAGACACAAAAUAAUUGAACUUUUGAAAUACACUCAAAAUUUACAACAAUCCCCCACAUAUUUCAAAAGUUUAAAAGAAAUUAGAAAAAAGAGUUUUUCUUGAGUAUACAUCGUAGAUGUAAUGCAUCGGAACGGUGUAUCAAGCUAUGGAACCCGUCCUAGACUAAUGAGACUUAGCAUACAAUGAAUUGGUUUAGCAAGCUAUGGAACCCAAGACACUUGUUAUGUGCUAGAGAUCUCACAAUCACACUACACCCCCACAAUUCUUGCUGUUACGCGGUUGUGCACGAAUAGGCCAUGCGCGUGCCUGGUAUUCAUGAGUGCUCUAGAGACCCGCCACGGUCUCAUACAAGCGGCCCCACUUGAAACUCAUAUAGGUGAUUCCAUCUAGUGUAUGCUACAAUCAAACACCACCAAUAAGGGCUUAUGGUAAUCAUUAAAAGCUUUUAAACUUACCCAUCAAUUUUAUAUUAUUUAGCACAUCUCAUCCAUUAUCAUACACUAUAAAAAAGAGACAACAAUAUUUUAGUGCUAACAUAACUAACAAGUAACUUGUUUUUACCCAUUGAACCUUCUUCAUGGGAUCUCCAAUCACAAAGGUUGGGUUCCCAUUACUUGUCGUUUUCGAGUGGCAGAGUCUCAUUUUCCUAAAUUUCUUCCCAAGGGGUUUUAUAUACGGAUCCGUUAAAUUCACAAAUAUUGACUAAGACGUCUCUAAGUCAAUUAACCUCAUAUUUCAUCAAGUUUAUGAAAAUAAACUCGGAUUACAUAAUAAACUAAUACAAGUCGUUGUCUAUUAAGAGACAACAUGUUCAUCAAUAAGAUAAAUCUACUUAUAGAUUUAUUCUCAUUGGAUUCAUAUCUAUUUGACAUCUUUGUAUUAUUUUAAUACAAAGGUUUAUCCAAUCAGUAAAAAUAUCUAAUAUAUUAUCAAACUAAUUUCCAUAAUAUAUGUCAUCAGGUCUACUUAGAUAAAUACUAAGCGACAACAUCUUCAUAAAGGGGGAAAUAUAUUUAUGAUUAAUUUUAUUAUACAUGUCUACUUGAAAAACUUUCAGGCGACAAUAUCCCCUACAUAAGCCAGAUAUAUUUUUCUAUUCAAGUCUGCUUGAAUUCUUUUUCAAGUGACGAUGCCCCCACAUUCAGGAAAAUAACACAUAGGUAAAUCAAACAUCAUCGUAUUAUUUUACUACAAUGGAUAAUCCACAAUAUUACACCAAAUAUUUUACGGUGUAUCUUAAUAUAUAUAUCUCUUGAGUUUAGCAAGUGCCACAAAAUUAUAUUCAGAUCUACUUAGAUUAUUUCUAAGCGACAAUAUCACACUUGUUUUACUCAUACACAUAUAGGUAUCACAGUGGAUUUCUUAAUAACAUCUUGUUACGGAGUACACUUCCAUCUCUUUUUAAAAUGAAUGUCAUAGUAAGGAUCCAAAUAGACCCCAGAAGAUCAUUUUAUUUUAAUAAUCUUAAAAGAACAAUGCUGCAACGAAUGUUAGAUCGAUCGAGAAGCAAGCUCAAAAUUGCAUGCCCACACAAAAAAUACAUCUCAAAAAAUUUAUCAAAACUAAAGAUGACAUAUCAAUACUAUAUUUUAAUGUAGGUUAACAAGAUAUUCAACUUUAACAUGUAUAUCACAACUCUAUACAUUUUGAAUAAAUUUUUAUAUCACUUUUCAACAACUCAUGCUUGCUUCUAUUUUUUAGGCAUAUAAUAGUACUUCAUAAAAUUCAGUUUUCAACAAGGAUAAAUCAAUGUCUCUACAUCAACCAGAACAAAGAAUAAUACAACAAAGAAGAAUAAGACAUUUUCGAAAACUGGAGUUCAAAAUAAUCAUAAUCAAACAAACAUGUGGUUAAUUAACAUUUUUGCAUCACUUUUCUAUAUGCAUAUUUCAUCACAGUAAGUCUUUUUCAAAUCAAGCAAGACAUUAAUUUUCAACAUCAUUAAAAAUAUUAUGCAAGCUCAAACAACCAUGCCUCAAACUAAAGUCACUAUUAAAAUUGAACUCAACAACAAACGUAUUGGCAUAAAUGAAAGCUACGAGAGCACAAUUUUGAAAAAUCAUACAAUCAUUUUUUUUUCCCACACAUUCAAUACACUCUCACAACUUUAACAAAUAAAAUCAAGAUUUUUGAGAUAUCAAAUUAGAAUGUGUACCUGACCCCUUGUGGAUGAUUUCAAAGGGAGACGUGUUUAAAACUUACAACAAAGUCGAUCACCUUGAAUGAACUGAGAAAUUCAACGAACCAUUUGUUACACCAAAAAAUUAAUGGUAACGUAUGCAUCGUUAAUUCCGUGUACACCAAAUAGUUCACCAUGUACAAUUGAAGUUUAGUUUUACAAACAUCUAACAACUACAACAAAGAUAGUACGCUUAAUUUGUAAACUUGCUUAUUAAUUUAUACCAACAUAGACUAUUACCAUUUAGAGACAUACUAAUUACCAUUUACCAUACUGUUCUUAAAAUAAUUAAGCAUGAUAAGGGACAACAAAAAUAAUCCCAAAACAAUUCUACAUUAUAAUAAUAAAUCAACAAUAAUUUAUACAUAACAUAGUUAACAGGAACGUCAAACAUAUAUAAUAAUUACUCAAGCAUAAUUGAUCAAUUAGAUUAAGAUGAGGAACAAAACACUGAUUUUAAUUCUCGUCAUUUCCUUUCAUCACCAAAUAGCUCAAUUAACAAAUUUACAACAAAAUUAAUAAUUUUAUGCUAAUAAUAAAUCCUUAAGAUUGUAGAAAAAUUUGGCAUAAAUUAUCUCUAGAAAUAAUAUUCAAUAUAUAAAUAAAAAAUCAAUUAAAUAUAAGCAAAAGAGUGAGAUCAAUUAAACUUAUCUUUCUUGAAAUUGCGGUGAUUUGACGUCGUCGACGGAAUCGAAGUAAACAAUCAGGAAACCAUGAAAGGAGAUAAUUUGCCAAACAGUAAUCCAUUAUAUAACAUGAGGCGUGACAAGUCACUGUCCUUAAGGAUUUAUUCGCCUCAUAAGCGCAUAUCCUCCCAGAAUUAAAAUAUUUGGGAGGAGAGAAAACUAUAUUUGAGAGAAGAGUUGUUUUGGUUGCUACUAAUCAAAAGGCUAGAAAAGAAAAAACUUAAUCCUCUUUUUCUUUUUUCCGUGGAAAAAAUGUAACUUCCUUCUUCUUAUUCUUAUGAUGUACGUGUAUCAUUAGGCCAAAUGUAGUUAUUUAGUCAAGCAAGAAAAAAGCCUUAAUAAUAGCCACAUUUAAGAGAUGUCAAUAUAGAAAGGCAGUUACAAAAUAUAGAAUUAAAAACAUGUUACAAAACCAAGUCAAAGUUUAUAAUUAAUAAUAAGAUAAUUAUUUUCUAUUAAAAUAUUUUUCUAUAUUUCUCAAUAGAAAAUAUGAGACACAAAAUAAUUGAACUUUUGAAAUACAUUCAAAAUUUACAACAGUUGUUUCAAUGAACAAUGAUCGUCAAAUCAUCUAUGAUCUUGUUAAACUAUGUCAGUUGCUCCAUUAUAUAUUUUGACUCCACCAUCCAGUAAAAGUAGAGUUGUUGUUUCAGACAUUGUCUACGUGCCAAAGACUUUGUCAUAUACAAUGAAUCUAGUUUAUUCCAUAUAGACACAUCAGUAGUCUCCCUUGCUACCUUUCUCAACACCUUAUCCCCCAAGACAUUGAAUGACGGCACUUAUCACCUCUUGUCAUUCAUCUCAAUCUUCUCAGCAGGUGUCAGAUGCGCUGGCAUUUGUGCUUCUCCCUUCAAUGUCUUAACACACUUUUGUUGGAUUAAAAUUACCCUCAUCUUUACCUUCCACAACCCGAAGUCGUUACUACAGGUAAACUUCUCAAUAUCCCAGUUCGAACCCAUGGUGCCUGUUUAUCGAUUUGAUCAUUGUCCCACGGUGGGCGCCAAUUGUUUUGAAUUCGUUUAAAUCACACCAAUAAAAUACUUGAUGUGUGGAGAAAAUUAACCAAGCAACCAAUAUCAACGUGUGUGAUAAUUAUAAAACACAAGCAAAAGUUAAAACAACGAGAGAGGAGAGAAAAAAACACAAGAGAAUUUGUUUACCUAGUUCGGUCCAAUACUGACCUACUCUAGGGGAGACACCAGCUCUUCGUUCCACUAUAAUUGAUGAGUAAUUUUACAAAGGAUUCAAAAGGGUUACAAGAAUCAAUCCUCAAACAUAAUUCUACCCAAAGUCCCGAAUUUCUUCCCGUGACAAAGAGACUCAAUCCUAAUAGUGUUUCUUCAAGGUGAAACAAUGAUAAUUCAUUCACAACCCUAGUGUUUGUUGCCAAGAGAAUUCUCUACAAUCCCUAGUAUUAUUGUUGGCUUCUAAUCCUUGUUUUUAUAUUGAUUUUUUGAUAUAGGAUUUGAAUUUAUAGAGAAAUAUAACCCUCAAAAUUAGGAGCAAAAAUACGCUGAAUAUACGUUUCUAUUUUUUCUCCUUCAGUGCAAAAUCGUGCCCCGAUUUUUUACGAGACAUAAGUCUUAACACUUGGUCAAAAUCGUGCCACGAUUUUGGCACUCCUUCAUCCAUCAAAUUUUGAGUCAAUUUCAACAUGAACAAAGUUCCCAAGUUGCUUAGCAAGCAACUCAAUUAUUAGAUGAUUGAAGAACAUCUUAGUUAUCAGGUUCCGAAGUAAAGGAAAUACAAACCCAACACGACAAGCAUCUGUAAGUUAUAAAGAGGAGAAUGGAAAAGGCCGGCAGCUAGCGGGUGUAAAUGUAACAUUGGCAUCCUUCUCUAUGUCGCUUAACAAGGUAGGCUUUGGAAUGUGUAUUAGGUAUGAUGUUGGUGAAUUUGUGUUGGCCAAAACGGAUUAGUUUGCUCCCCUGUGUGAUGUUGAUGUGGUGGAGGUCGUAGCUUUACACACAGCUCUGCAAUGGGUGUUAGACCUUCAAUUCAACAAUGUGGACUUCGCCCUUUAUUCUAAAUGAGUUGUUGAUCAUGUUAUAUCUAGCAAUUUAUUUGAUGUUGUUGAAUGCAUUUUUUGAUGCUGUUUCUUGCAGUUUUUUUUAAUGCCACUAAUCUAGUAUGUGUUUUCUGCGAUUGCGUAUUGGUUGCAUGGGUGAAUGCCAAUGGUGUCCACAAUUUUUGAACAAGUGAUAUAACAUUCUUUAGUCGGAACUAGUGGUUAUUUGUACCUUGCCUGAGUUAGGGUCCUUUUCAAAGUUGCUAUAGUUUUGUGACCUUUUUUCGGUACAAUUUUUGUGACAUAUUAAGCAUUUAUUUGAUACAAAACUAUAGUAAUGGAAAUUUCCAUUUCAUCUUGAGAAAUUGAGAGGAUCCUUACCAGUUGCUGCCUUGGGAAUUGGUCGCAUCGUCCUAGUCUAAAAUAUGCUGUUUAAUAUUGUCUACUGUUAAUUUUUUAUGUUGGUUGUAAUUUAGUAUUUUGCAUAUGUAAAUUUUUUCUCACUGCCAAUUGUUAUGCACAUGCAGUUGAAAAUCUUAUUAAUGUGUGUAUCUUCUAUAUUGUUAUGCAUCCUUUUCGAAGCACCUGAACAAGGUUGGAUUAGGUAUGUGUAUUAAAGAUGAACAUGGUAUUUUUGUCCUUGCCAAAACUGAUUGGUUUAGUCUCAUAUGUGAAGUUCAUAUUGGAGAAGCUCUUGGGUUGAUUUCAGCACUAGAGUGGGUGUAUGAGCUCAACUUGGGACCUAUUAACUUUGAGAUGGAUGCGAAGAGAGUGGUGGAUAGUUUUUUAUCUUCUCGACAUGAUGUUACCGAAUUUGGUAUCAUUAUCCAAAAUUGUAAAACUCUCUUUAGGCAUUAUUAUGAAAACUCGACGGUUGAGUUUGUACAGAGACAAGCAAAUGAAGUUGUUCAUAAAUUAGCUAAGNAAUUAAUAAUAAGAUAAUUAUUUUCUAUUAAAAUAUUUUUCUAUAUUUCUCAAUAGAAAAUAUGAGACACAAAAUAAUUGAACUUUUGAAAUACACUCAAAAUUUACAACAAUCCCCCACAUAUUUCAAAAGUUUAAAAGAAAUUAGAAAAAAGAGUUUUUCUUGAGUAUACAUCGUAGAUGUAAUGCAUCGGAACGGUGUAUCAAGCUAUGGAACCCGUCCUAGACUAAUGAGACUUAGCAUACAAUGAAUUGGUUUAGCAAGCUAUGGAACCCAAGACACUUGUUAUGUGCUAGAGAUCUCACAAUCACACUACACCCCCACAAUUCUUGCUGUUACGCGGUUGUGCACGAAUAGGCCAUGCGCGUGCCUGGUAUUCAUGAGUGCUCUAGAGACCCGCCACGGUCUCAUACAAGCGGCCCCACUUGAAACUCAUAUAGGUGAUUCCAUCUAGUGUAUGCUACAAUCAAACACCACCAAUAAGGGCUUAUGGUAAUCAUUAAAAGCUUUUAAACUUACCCAUCAAUUUUAUAUUAUUUAGCACAUCUCAUCCAUUAUCAUACACUAUAAAAAAGAGACAACAAUAUUUUAGUGCUAACAUAACUAACAAGUAACUUGUUUUUACCCAUUGAACCUUCUUCAUGGGAUCUCCAAUCACAAAGGUUGGGUUCCCAUUACUUGUCGUUUUCGAGUGGCAGAGUCUCAUUUUCCUAAAUUUCUUCCCAAGGGGUUUUAUAUACGGAUCCGUUAAAUUCACAAAUAUUGACUAAGACGUCUCUAAGUCAAUUAACCUCAUAUUUCAUCAAGUUUAUGAAAAUAAACUCGGAUUACAUAAUAAACUAAUACAAGUCGUUGUCUAUUAAGAGACAACAUGUUCAUCAAUAAGAUAAAUCUACUUAUAGAUUUAUUCUUAUUGGAUUCAUAUCUAUUUGACAUCUUUGUAUUAUUUUAAUACAAAUACAAAGGUUUAUCCAUUCUGUAAACAAUAUCUCAUAUAUUAUGAAACUAAUUUACAUAAUAUAUUUCAUCAGGUCUACUUAGAUAAAUACUAAGUGACAACAUCUUCACAAAGGGGGAAAAUAUAUUUAUGAUUAAUUUUAUUAUACAUGUCUACUUGAAAAACUUUCAGGCGACAAUAUCCCCUGCAUAAGCCAGGUAUAUUUUUUCUAUUCAAGUCUGCUUGAAUUACUUUUCAAGUGACGACGCCCCCACAUUCAGGAAAAUAACACAUAGGUAAAUCUAACAUCAUUGUAUUAUUUUAAUACAAUGGAUAAUCCACAAUAUUACACCAAAUAUUUUACGAUGUAUCUUAAUAUAUAUCUCUUGAGUUUAGCAAGUGCCACAAAAUUAUAUUCAGGUCUACUUAGAUUAUUUCUAAGCGACAAUAUCACACUUGUUUUACUCAUACACAUAUAGGUAUCACAGUGGAUUUCUUAAUAACAUCUUGUUACGGAGUACACUUCCAUCUCCUUUUAAAAUGAAUGUCAUAGUAAGGAUCCAAAUAGACCACAAAAGAUAAUUUUAUUUUAAUAAUCUUAAAAGAACAAUGCUGCAACGAAUGUUAGAUCGAUCGAGAAGCAAGCUCAAAAUUGCAUGCCCACACAAAAAAUACAUCUCAAAAAAUUUAUCAAAACUAAAGAUGACAUAUCAGUACUAUAUUUUAAUGUAGGUUAACAAGAUAUUCAACUUUAACAUGUAUAUCACAACUCUAUACAUUUUGAAUAAAUUUUUAUAUCACUUUUCAACAACUCAUGCUUGCAUCUAUUUUUUAGGCAUAUAAUAGUACUUCAUAAAAUUCAGUUUUCAACAAGGAUAAAUCAAUGUCUCUACAUCAACCAGAACAAAGAAUAAUACAACAAAGAAGAAUAAGACAUUUUCGAAUACUGGAGUUCAAAAUAAUCAUAAUCAAACAAACAUGUGGUUAAUUAACAUUUUUGCAUCACUUUUCUAUAUGCAUAUUUCAUCACAGUAAGUCUUUUUCAAAUCAAGCAAGACAUUAAUUUUCAACAUCAUUAAAAAUAUUAUGCAAGCUCAAACAACCAUGCCUCAAACUAAAGUCACUAUUAAAAUUGAACUCAACAAAAAACGUAUUGGCAUAAAUGAAAGCUACGAGAGCACAAUUUUGAAAAAUCAUACAAUCAUUUUUUUUUCCCACACAUUCAAUACACUCUCACAACUUUAACAAAUAAAAUCAAGAUUUUUGAGAUAUCAAAUUAGAAUGUGUACCUGACCCCUUGUGGAUGAUUUCAAAGGGAGACGUGUUUAAAACUUACAACAAAGUCGAUCACCUUGAAUGAACUGAGAAAUUCAACGAACCAUUUGUUACACCAAAAAAUUAAUGGUAACGUAUGCAUCGUUAAUUCCGUGUACACCAAAUAGUUCACCAUGUACAAUUGAAGUUUAGUUUUACAAACAUCUAACAACUACAACAAAGAUAGUACGCUUAAUUUGUAAACUUGCUUAUUAAUUUAUACCAACAUAGACUAUUACCAUUUAGAGACAUACUAAUUACCAUUUACCAUACUGUUCUUAAAAUAAUUAAGCAUGAUAAGGGACAACAAAAAUAAUCCCAAAACAAUUCUACAUUAUAAUAAUAAAUCAACAAUAAUUUAUACAUAACAUAGUUAACAGGAACGUCAAACAUAUAUAAUAAUUACUCAAGCAUAAUUGAUCAAUUAGAUUAAGAUGAGGAACAAAACACUGAUUUUAAUUCUCGUCAUUUCCUUUCAUCACCAAAUAGCUCAAUUAACAAAUUUACAACAAAAUUAAUAAUUUUAUGCUAAUAAUAAAUCCUUAAGAUUGUAGAAAAAUUUGGCAUAAAUUAUCUCUAGAAAUAAUAUUCAAUAUAUAAAUAAAAAAUCAAUUAAAUAUAAGCAAAAGAGUGAGAUCAAUUAAACUUAUCUUUCUUGAAAUUGCGGUGAUUUGACGUCGUCGACGGAAUCGAAGUAAACAAUCAGGAAACCAUGAAAGGAGAUAAUUUGCCAAACAGUAAUCCAUUAUAUAACAUGAGGCGUGACAAGUCACUGUCCUUAAGGAUUUAUUCGCCUCAUAAGCGCAUAUCCUCCCAGAAUUAAAAUAUUUGGGAGGAGAGAAAACUAUAUUUGAGAGAAGAGUUGUUUUGGUUGCUACUAAUCAAAAGGCUAGAAAAGAAAAAACUUAAUCCUCUUUUUCUUUUUUCCGUGGAAAAAAUGUAACUUCCUUCUUCUUAUUCUUAUGAUGUACGUGUAUCAUUAGGCCAAAUGUAGUUAUUUAGUCAAGCAAGAAAAAAGCCUUAAUAAUAGCCACAUUUAAGAGAUGUCAAUAUAGAAAGGCAGUUACAAAAUAUAGAAUUAAAAACAUGUUACAAAACCAAGUCAAAGUUUAUAAUUAAUAAUAAGAUAAUUAUUUUCUAUUAAAAUAUUUUUCUAUAUUUCUCAAUAGAAAAUAUGAGACACAAAAUAAUUGAACUUUUGAAAUACACUCAAAAUUUACAACAGUUGUUUCAAUGAACAAUGAUCGUCAAAUCAUCUAUGAUCUUGUUAAACUAUGUCAGUUGCUCCAUUAUAUAUUUUGACUCCACCAUCCAGUAAAAGUAGAGUUGUUGUUUCAGACAUUGUCUACGUGCCAAAGACUUUGUCAUAUACAAUGAAUCUAGUUUAUUCCAUAUAGACACAUCAGUAGUCUCCCUUGCUACCUUUCUCAACACCUUAUCCCCCAAGACAUUGAAUGACGGCACUUAUCACCUCUUGUCAUUCAUCUCAAUCUUCUCAGCAGGUGUCAGAUGCGCUGGCAUUUGUGCUUCUCCCUUCAAUGUCUUAACACACUUUUGUUGGAUUAAAAUUACCCUCAUCUUUACCUUCCACAACCCGAAGUCGUUACUACAGGUAAACUUCUCAAUAUCCCAGUUCGAACCCAUGGUGCCUGUUUAUCGAUUUGAUCAUUGUCCCACGGUGGGCGCCAAUUGUUUUGAAUUCGUUUAAAUCACACCAAUAAAAUACUUGAUGUGUGGAGAAAAUUAACCAAGCAACCAAUAUCAACGUGUGUGAUAAUUAUAAAACACAAGCAAAAGUUAAAACAACGAGAGAGGAGAGAAAAAAACACAAGAGAAUUUGUUUACCUAGUUCGGUCCAAUACUGACCUACUCUAGGGGAGACACCAGCUCUUCGUUCCACUAUAAUUGAUGAGUAAUUUUACAAAGGAUUCAAAAGGGUUACAAGAAUCAAUCCUCAAACAUAAUUCUACCCAAAGUCCCGAAUUUCUUCCCGUGACAAAGAGACUCAAUCCUAAUAGUGUUUCUUCAAGGUGAAACAAUGAUAAUUCAUUCACAACCCUAGUGUUUGUUGCCAAGAGAAUUCUCUACAAUCCCUAGUAUUAUUGUUGGCUUCUAAUCCUUGUUUUUAUAUUGAUUUUUUGAUAUAGGAUUUGAAUUUAUAGAGAAAUAUAACCCUCAAAAUUAGGAGCAAAAAUACGCUGAAUAUACGUUUCUAUUUUUUCUCCUUCAGUGCAAAAUCGUGCCCCGAUUUUUUACGAGACAUAAGUCUUAACACUUGGUCAAAAUCGUGCCACGAUUUUGGCACUCCUUCAUCCAUCAAAUUUUGAGUCAAUUUCAACAUGAACAAAGUUCCCAAGUUGCUUAGCAAGCAACUCAAUUAUUAGAUGAUUGAAGAACAUCUUAGUUAUCAGGUUCCGAAGUAAAGGAAAUACAAACCCAACACGACAAGCAUCUGUAAGUUAUAAAGAGGAGAAUGGAAAAGGCCGGCAGCUAGCGGGUGUAAAUGUAACAUUGGCAUCCUUCUCUAUGUCGCUUAACAAGGUAGGCUUUGGAAUGUGUAUUAGGUAUGAUGUUGGUGAAUUUGUGUUGGCCAAAACGGAUUAGUUUGCUCCCCUGUGUGAUGUUGAUGUGGUGGAGGUCGUAGCUUUACACACAGCUCUGCAAUGGGUGUUAGACCUUCAAUUCAACAAUGUGGACUUCGCCCUUUAUUCUAAAUGAGUUGUUGAUCAUGUUAUAUCUAGCAAUUUAUUUGAUGUUGUUGAAUGCAUUUUUUGAUGCUGUUUCUUGCAGUUUUUUUUAAUGCCACUAAUCUAGUAUGUGUUUUCUGCGAUUGCGUAUUGGUUGCAUGGGUGAAUGCCAAUGGUGUCCACAAUUUUUGAACAAGUGAUAUAACAUUCUUUAGUCGGAACUAGUGGUUAUUUGUACCUUGCCUGAGUUAGGGUCCUUUUCAAAGUUGCUAUAGUUUUGUGACCUUUUUUCGGUACAAUUUUUGUGACAUAUUAAGCAUUUAUUUGAUACAAAACUAUAGUAAUGGAAAUUUCCAUUUCAUCUUGAGAAAUUGAGAGGAUCCUUACCAGUUGCUGCCUUGGGAAUUGGUCGCAUCGUCCUAGUCUAAAAUAUGCUGUUUAAUAUUGUCUACUGUUAAUUUUUUAUGUUGGUUGUAAUUUAGUAUUUUGCAUAUGUAAAUUUUUUCUCACUGCCAAUUGUUAUGCACAUGCAGUUGAAAAUCUUAUUAAUGUGUGUAUCUUCUAUAUUGUUAUGCAUCCUUUUCGAAGCACCUGAACAAGGUUGGAUUAGGUAUGUGUAUUAAAGAUGAACAUGGUAUUUUUGUCCUUGCCAAAACUGAUUGGUUUAGUCUCAUAUGUGAAGUUCAUAUUGGAGAAGCUCUUGGGUUGAUUUCAGCACUAGAGUGGGUGUAUGAGCUCAACUUGGGACCUAUUAACUUUGAGAUGGAUGCGAAGAGAGUGGUGGAUAGUUUUUUAUCUUCUCGACAUGAUGUUACCGAAUUUGGUAUCAUUAUCCAAAAUUGUAAAACUCUCUUUAGGCAUUAUUAUGAAAACUCGACGGUUGAGUUUGUACAGAGACAAGCAAAUGAAGUUGUUCAUAAAUUAGCUAAGGCGGCCUUAUUGUCAAUUAGUCUCCAAGUUCUAUUUAAAAUACCUAAUUGUAUUGAAAAUACUUGAUUAAUGAAAUGAUAUAAGUUUGUUUUCUCAAAAAAAAACAUUUAUAAUAUUCCACUAUCUUAGAGUACAACGACUUUUGAAUAUAACAUGUAUUAUUGGUGCCUUUGAGUUGUCAUCUUAUUGCAGGUAUAUUUGACAAGGAUUAUGUACGAGAAAAUAAAAUUUUCAGGUCUAAUUUGACAAUAAUAUGAACAGCACUUUCUUUCUUAAAAAAAAAAAUAUAUAUUUGAACAACACUUGUUAUUUCGAAUCUUAGUUUAGUUUCUAUUAUAUAUCUCUAUCUUUUUUUUUUUGAAUAAAUAUCUCUCUUUGGCUAAUCAAUUAUAGGGACAAAAUCAUGUUACUGCAUGUUGUUCUCCAAAACUUCUAUUUUUCACUCUUCUAAACUUCUAAUGAGUCAUGCAGCUUCUUUCACACAAAGUCCUUCUCCACUUUCAUAGUCUCUCACAAAAGUAGGUUGCUGCCUGGUUCUUAUAUUUUAAUCUCUAGUUAAAGAUGAAAAAAUGCAUAUGAUUAAAAAAAAAUUAGAGUAUUAUUUUUUAUUUUUUUUAUAAUUGUCUCAUUUAAGUUUAUAAUAACAGAGAUUGAAUUUAUUUUUCAAUAUAAUUUUUUAGUCCCUUCUAUUUAUAAGUUUUUUUUGUUGACAAAGUAAAUAUGUCAUGCAUGUAUAAUUUGUUAAUUUACACCAACUCAAAAAUUAUUCGAAUGAGUGAAAGUUAUUAUGUUAAAAUUAAAAAUUUAUGCUAUACACCUUAAAGUGCAAUUUUCUAAGUUAUAAUAAAAUAAGUGAGAUGGUUUAAAAUUAAUAAAUCAUUUCUUUAACUAUUAAAAUAAUAGAUUAAUUUGGAAAACUAAUCCUUGCUCGUCCAUUGGAAGCAAAUUUGUAGAUACAUAUCGUAUUUAUUGAAGUGUUGGGUAAAUUGAGUGGUGUUGUAUGGUAAAGUGGAAGUGGUGUUGGAGGAUGUGUGGAGUAUUGCUAAGGCAAUGGCGUCAAAUUUAAUGGGGAUAAGACAAAUAUGUUUAAUGUGUUGCGUAGGGUAGGGAGGAAACCAAGCAGAAGUGAGAGGGAGAAGGAGGGGUAAUUCUCUCCUGGGCUCUUCUUCUUUUGAUUAUUCCUAUCGGUCUUCGGUGGGAGCUUCAUGUGGUCUGGUCAUUCCUACGAAGAAUGCCGCCAAAACCAGAUAUUCCAGGAUUUUCAAAAUUGUUGCCAUCAACAUUCAAGACAACGACCAUACUCUCCUCUAGAUGCCAAGUCACAUAACAACCUUCUAUAUCUGUGGAUAAUGCCGGAGAGAAAACAGAACUAGGAAGGACUGACAAAUUGUAAAUUUUUACCUUCAAGGAGAAAAUAGAAAUCGUCUCAUUCUCCAUACAAAAUGAGUUUCGAGCGCACCAAAUCCACCAAAGAGCAGCAGAGAAUAAAUGACUAUUUGCGCUAACCACACCUUGCCUGAGCUAGGUGAUCAUAAAAUUCCUCAAACAAAAGUUAAUAUUGUGAAAUUCAAGAGCAAUCUAGAGAUGCUUAACAAACAGACAAUCCCGAAAACAGAGCAUGGUACUUUCAAUACUAUUGAGACACCUCGAACAAUUAUUAGUGUCUAGCAUACCUCUGUUAUGCAACAACGACCUCGUAGGAACAACAUCAUAGCAAACUGUCCAAUAUUGAAAUUUAAUCUUUUCAGGAACCAACUAAACGUCAAAUCCACUUCCAUGACCCGACCCCAUCCUCGCCUGUGUUCCACUUUAUAAGCCACUUAUAUCCAACUUUCACAGAAUAAAUACUAUCCAGAUUAUCCUUCCACGUAAAACCAAUAUUUUCUUAUAUCUAUAUAUGGUAUAAAUUAAAGCAUCAUAAUCCGAUAAAAUAUCAUGAUUUCAUAUUUUUAUGAAAUUUUAUAUAUCUGACAUAUUUUAUAAGAAUUUUAAAUCCAAUAAUUUGUAAACCAGUACUUUGUUUUAAUUUAUUAAAAAAAUAAGUAUGCAAUGAAAAUCUAAAAUUGAUUUACCGCUUAAGAACAUAGCACGUGUCUAAAAGUAAAAGAGUCAAAUAGAAGACAACAAUAUAGACUCGCGUGUUUCUCGAAUUUUUCUUUGCGGCACUACCAACAACAACAAGAGUCACACAACAAUCAAAGUAUCUACAGUAGUAACUUUCAAUAUCAUCAAAUUCAAUUCUUAGAUCCAAACUUCAUUCACACAAUUCAAAUGGGAACUACCGUUGAUGAUUCCUGCGCUACCCAACUCAUCGACGGUGACGGUGUUUUCAACCUCACCGGUCUCGAUAAUUUCAUCAAAACUUCAAAUAUGGCUAAUACUGGUCUUUCUUAUGCUGUUGUUGCUAUCAUGGGUCCUCAAUCUAGUGGUAACCGUUUUUUUCUACUUUCAAUUUUUACUUUCUGAUUCGGAUUUAGCUUUCUCCAACUUCAAUUUUUUGUUGAGUUUGGAUCGAUGACUUUAGUUUUUCAAUUAUUGUGUUUAACUAGGGUUUAAGUUGUUGAUUUAAAUGAAAUGAAAGUUUUUUAUUUUUAUUUUGAUUUUGAUUGAAGUGACUUGUGCUCAAAGUGAAGUUUUUUAAGUUUAAAGUUAAAUUUUUUUGUUCGGAUUUAGUCUCUGCAAAUUCAAAACCGUUGCUUUUAGUCCCUGUCAUCAACGUCCGAGACUAAAAACAAUCUUUUUGGAAUUGCUGGGAAUAAAAUCGUAUUUAACUAAGUUUUUUAUUAUGCAAUUUUAAUGGUUAUGUGUUUGUGUUUUGUGAUCUAAUAUUGUGAUUUCAUUUUGUUGUUUGUGCAGGGAAGAGUACUUUGAUGAAUCAUCUUUUCCAUACUAGUUUCAGGGAGAUGGAUGCUUUUAGAGGAAGGUUAGUUUUUUGAAAUGAUUGAGCUAUUAUUGUGGGUAGAGAAAUUAAGAUUUAAAGGGAUAGAUGAAAAUUGAAUUUUUUAUUUAUGCUCCUUUUAUGAUAAAUGAGUAAUUGAGUAUCAUGUUGUUGCAGAUCACAAACUACCAAGGGUAUUUGGAUAGCUAAGUGUACUGGAAUUGAACCUUGCACAAUUGCUAUGGAUUUAGAGGGUACUGAUGGAAGGGAGAGGGGUGAGGUAAUAGAUUCUAUAAUCUAUAUUAGGUGUUUCUUCAUACCCUGUUAAAUAUAUUGUUUUAUGGAAGACCCGUUGUCCGAAUCGUAAGAUACAUGACUAAUACAAAUAUAUUUUUAUGUAAAAACAAGUGACAUAACAAAAUUAUAAGCUAGUAAUAUACCGUUACCACCUAAUUGCCUCAAAAUAAUUCAAGAUUCAAGUCAUAAAUCAAAUGAGAAAAAACAUGUGCUUGGCUAUGCAAAAUUGAGAAAGAAAAAAAAAGAGGUUGGGCUACACUAUGUUUAGGUAGAGAUUGAUUAGACUGAAUCAGGAUUCAUCUUAAUGUAUCAGAAUUCAAAUGAGGUUCAUGUUCAAAAUAGAUGCAUACUAGGGAUUCGUAUCAAUUAUAUUUAGUUUUGUAUUGAAUCUAGAUACAACUCAAGUAUCGUAAAAUAUUGAUAACCAUGGUUUUACGUACUAAUAUCAAUUAGUUUGGUUCGGUGGUUUGUUAGUUAUUUUAGGUUCCCUUUAGGAGACCUGAAAAGAAUGACUUGAUAGUACAAGAAAAUACCUGAAAAGAAUGUGUUUGGUGUUGACACAUGUUAGUAUAGCCAAAUUUUAUUGACCUUUUCAUGGUUGUUCCAGCUUCACUUUAGUGACAAGCCUGUUUGUAGUUAUGUGCAUGGGUACAUAUUUGAUAUUAUUGAGCUGUUAUGUCUUUCAUUUCAUGUACAUUGGAACUCACUAUUGUUUUCUUUUAAUUAUUUAUCUCUCAGGACGAUACCGCUUUUGAGAAGCAGAGUGCUCUUUUUGCUUUGGCAGUAUCGGAUAUUGUUCUGAUAAACAUGUAAGUUUUUAGGCCUAGAUUGGUCAUUUAUAAUUGAUGGUAUGAAUGAAAUUCUGGGGUGAUCCUUAAUUUUAGGCAUCAUGGUAAAAUAUUAUUUUUUUUAAAAGAAACUUUACUUCCAAGUUCCAACAUUUUUCCCUUAAAAAAAAAAGUUCCAAAAUUUUCUGGAAACUAGCUUCACAUAAGUCCACAAAUUUCACUAUUUAACUUGGUAAUGGUAUAUUUUAUGUUCGUAAUAUUCUUGCUUGUAACUUAUCUACUUGACACUUGGGAUCAUUGACACUGUACACUAGUGAUUGUAGGAUGAAAUAUAAUGUACUACAUACGUCCCUAAAUAUAGUACCCCUUGAGUUAAACACGUGAACUAAAAAAAUUAUUUGCAGUAGUAAAUUUAUCGACAAUUUGUAUAGUUUUACAAGUUUACCCUUUAGUAGAGAGAAUUAGUUAAUAAUUGUAUAAGAGUAUUUAUUACAUAUUGCAGAAAAAGAUGUAAUUUAAUUAGGCGUAUGUUGGUAAAGAAAUAAUUAAUGCACUUAGAAAUUUGAAAGGGGUCUUGUAAAAAGGGACUAACCUAACACUCAACAGUGUCCUAUAUUUAGGGAUGGAGGUAGUAGUUUAUUUCAUAUCACAAGGUGUGGAAGUAUGUAUAUGAUAUACAUAAUGCCAUUUUCCUUUCUUAUUUUCUGCAGUAUUGUCCUUUGCAAGCCUUCGAAAUCUUUUUUCCUGCUUCCUUGCUUUGGAGCCAAAUUAGUUGUCAAAAACUAGAAACUAAAAGAUUUUAUAUUAGGAUAAAACAAUUCCAUUUCGAACAGCCAUUGAGGGUUUUAUAUUAGGAUAAAACUUAGGAAUUGUUCUAUGGGUGCCAUUUAUGCUGAUUAAAAUAUACCACGUGGAUUAAAUUUUGACUUGACUCUGAAUUCGAAGUUGUCCUUUUGAUACUAUUGGAUACAUAAUCCAUGUACUGAAUUGUAAUCAGCGAAAAGUAAAAACAGCACACAAGAAACUAUCUUAGUUUUGUCAUUUAUUUUAUGGACAGGUGGUGUCAUGAUAUUGGUCGUGAACAAGCAGCCAAUAAACCUCUUUUAAAAACAGUUUUUCAGGUAGUUUGCAACCAUGAAUUUGCCUCUGUUUGGUAUUCUAUGUUUGAAUUUACACACUCUGACCGUUCUUUUGUUUUUAGGUCAUGAUGCGUUUAUUUAGUCCACGGAAGACAACAUUGCUUUUUGUUAUACGUGAUAAGACAAAGGUCUAUACACUUCAUCCUUUAAUGAGAAUGUGUCCUGUUUUAUAUUACUAUAUUCAUUUGUUUACCAUGUUUCUUGCAUUCUGUACAGACUCCGUUGGAAAAUUUGGAGCCUAUUCUAAGAGAAGAUAUUCAAAAGGUGAUUUUUCAUCAUUUUUUUCUCUCUUUCAUUUAUUUGGUUUCUUGUUUUAUUCACCAUCAUUUGUAAACAUGAAAUGAAUUCAUCAGAUUUGGGAUGGAGUUCCAAAACCUCAAGCUCAUUUACACACUCCUCUUAGUGAAUUUUUUAAUGUAAGAAGAUCCAUCCAUCUCCCUUUUUCGCAUGCUUGUUUGAUUGUUUAUGUAUAUGUUGUGGCAUAUGAUUAACGAUUCUUCAUGUGAAGGUGGAAGUCACUGCUUUGUCAAGCUAUGAGGACAAAGAGGAGAAAUUCAAAGAGGAGGUACCCUUUCAUGAGCUACUACUUUUGCUUUAAGGAGUUUGUUCAACUUUUCUUUUUAAUUCUAGAACUAGAAUGAUUUCUAAAUCCUAUUGCUUCCUAACAUCUUUCUCCUGAUGAACAACAAUUUGACUAUCAAUAUGCAUGCAUUUUUUAUUUUAUUUUUUAAAAUUUUUUUAUGCAUCAAAACUUCCUCAUCCUGACUUCUAUCUCAUAUGUGCUAAGGUGUAGAUCACAUUGUUAUGCUUUUCAUACAGGUUGCUCAAUUACGACAACGUUUCUAUCAUUCUAUAGCACCUGGAGGUCUUGCUGGUGAUCGGCGUGGUGUUGUGCCCGCAUCUGCUUUUUCUCUUAGUGCACAACACAUAUGGAAAGUCAUAAGAGAGAACAAGGAUCUCGAUCUCCCAGCUCAUAAGGUUUUCAAUAAUCCCAUUUUCAGAUGUAACAGUGGUUCAGCUUUCCAAUAAUCUGAUAUUUUAGACGUGGUGUUGUUUUCUCAUGGAUUUGUAUUUUAUAAUAGGUAAUGGUUGCAACCGUGCGUUGUGAAGAGAUUGCUUACGAAAAGCUUAGUCAGCUGCGUUCUGAUAAGGUGUUGAUCCAUAUCCCUCUAUUUUACCCAUCUAAGCUGCAUCAUUUAUUUUAAAAAUCAGUCACUAUAUUAACGAAUUUGGCUUAGGGUUGGCUGGAGUUGGAGGAAGCUGUUCAAUCAGGUCCAGUACAAGGCUUUGGGGAAAAGUUGAGCUCUAUUAUUGAUACCUACCUUUCUCUGUAAGUUCUAGAUGCUGGUAGACAUAAUUAUUCAAUCUCAAAAUAAAUCUGUGCUCAACAACUACUUGAUUUUAUGUUUAGCUUCUGAUGUUAAAUCAAGCCUCCCCUAAUAACUCGUGUGUAUGUUUGCGAGUCACUGAAGGAGUGUAAUAAUUAUUGGAUUUGGAAUUAGAUUGGGAUUUUUUUUUUUGGCAAUUUCUUUACCUUAUUUGUAGUUUUGGUAAGUUUUGCUUGCAGUUGCGUCAAAAGAUAUGUGUUUGAUUAGUAACACUCCAAAUAAAAGGAGAGAAAAAUAGAUUGGUUGAAUGUGUUACUUUAAUUUCUAUUUGUCCUUGCAAGUUUACAAGGAUGUAUCUAUAGUCAUCAUUGGAACUUACAUAACUAUUUGAUGUUGAGGCUUUAGCUUGGCAUAUAAUAGUUUUUUAUUAUUUAAUUGUCUCCAAAAGUUCCAUUUAUUUAUUUAUUUAUUUAUUUUCAUAUGGUGAUAAUGCUUUCAACAGAUAUGAUGAGGAGACGAUCUACUUUGAUGAUUCUGUGAGAAAUGCAAAACGAAAGCAAUUGGAAUCAAAUGCAUUGGAUGUAAGGCUGCCUGCUACCUCUAAAGGCUUUAUUUUAAUUUUAGUUAUGGAUUAUGAUCCAUUUGAGUUGAAUUUUGAUAAAGCAGUUGUGGACUGUACCGUUGAAAUAAAAUCAAGCCUCUUUUAAAACACCAUGUUAAGUCAAACUAUUACUUUUUUAUUGAAACAAUUAUUUUGGGUGUCUUUAAAAAACACGAUAGGGAAAACAGAGUGAAAGAGGCUUAAAAUUGCAACUAUCCUUCCAAUUUCGGCAAAUCAAAGAUGGAACUCCUUGAAAACAUUUCUUGCGGAGUACCAAACUAAAGGCUAUCAACACAACAGCGUCUCCAAAUUUUUGGGGCAAGUGAAUCCACUUGAUAAUUGGGUCUAGUUCAUGAGUAAAAUUAAAAUGACAUUGACAACCAACAAUUCAAAUAAGAAAAAAAUUGAAACCACUUUCAGGUUUUGGUAGUUAUAAUCCCACCCGGCUGGGCACCUCUUGACUUACCUAAUGUACACUGCUGCCCACCCCCUCAAAAUAAUCUCUUGUUGCUUCUGUUGGUAUCUUCAGCUCCUCCACCAGACCUGGAGAUAAAAAAAAAUUGCGAGGUGUUUAAGGGUAUACCACCAGAAAGGCUUUCCCAUUUAUAGCAACAUCAAAUCCUAUCAGCAUCCCAAUCUCUAUUCAUGCUACCUUGCACUGAUUCUGUAACCCAAGAUUCUAUAAGCCUAAAUUUAGAAUAAAUGAUUAUUAAUAUAUAUAAUUCAUAAUGCAGAUAUAUUCUGUUCAACAUGCAUUCUACUGAAAUAUUAUUAGCAAGAAAUUUUGAAGGGAGAGAAUGUGACAUGAAGGACUUAUUGGUAUUUUAUUUGAAGGAAAAUCACACUUUUUUAAAUUAAAAGAUGUCUAAAUUUUUUAAAAUAUAAUGUAUUUUGAAAUAUUCUUGGAAUCUAAAUAUAAUGGCCUAAGAUAGCCCUAGAAAAAUUUAUCCUAGAUUUUCUUUUUUUAAGCAUAAACUUUUCAUAUAAUUUUUUUAUGCUUCAACUUUUCAGACAGUGUACCCUGCUUAUUCAACUAUGAUAGGACACCUACGCUCUAAAGCUCUAGACGAUUUUAAGACCAAGCUGGAUCAAUCACUAAACAAUGGAGAAGGGUUUGCUUCAUCUGUUCGCACGUGGACUCAGUCUAUUAUGCUCGAGUUUGAAAAAGGAUCUGCUGGUAAUAAUUAGAUAGGAUUUUUCUUCAUAUUAGCAUACAGUUUUUCUUUUUAAAUUUACAUCAGGUGUCAUUUGGUCGUUCUCAACUGGCUUUAUUAUUUUACUUAUACUCAUUAUUAUAUAUACAUUUGCUGUGUAAUGUGUUAUAAAAUUCAUUAUUUAAUCUUGAAGCAGAAUCAUUUGGAAUUUAUCAUUCUUCAAUUUCAUAGAUAUAGAAAGUGUGGCUCCUGAUUUGCUUUUGUAGGUGCUCUCAUUUUUUUUUGCUGUCAUAUAAAUAAAAGGAAAGAAAGAACAUCAUUUACACCUUUAAAUCAGUCUGUCUUCAUCUUUUAGAAUGCAUCAUAUAAGUCGCUUAUUCUAAAUAAACUUGCUUUAGAGGAACAUGUUCUCUCUUGAAUGAAUUUACUUCAAAUGGAGUUGCUAAUUUGCCUCAGUCAUCAUGUAAACUGUUUUUUAUUUUAUUUUUAUAUUCUUAUUUGUUUCAUCAUUAUAUGCAUUUUUCAGACGCUUCUGUAAGACAGGCUAAUUGGGGUUCUUCAAAAGUCCGAGAUAAACUUCGUCGUGAUAUUGAUUCACAUGCUUUAUCUGUGCGCAAUGCAAAAUUGUCGGAGAUAACAACUAAUUUCGAGGUAAUAUUGUUGUCUGUACAAUCAAAGUCUGUUUCCAUUUUGUGGGUUGGGUACAUGGAUCAAAUGGUGGGCAUGAUGCCUUGUUAUGAAUGAAUUUCACAGAUUGACCAUUAGCUUUAAAAAUCUCUCUUAGCCUCUAACCUAUAGGCUAGUUGAUAGCUUAUAUAGUCAAGAAACUAGUCGAUUGAAAUUUAAGUGUUUAGUAAAAUUUACUGAUUAAUUUAAAAUGACAUGAAAGGACUUGUUUAUUUAACUCUUCACAUAAAUUCUUUGUAUUAUGUUAUGUAUGCCCAUGUGUACCAAUAUAAUAAUAAUAGUUUUAUUUUAUUUUAUUUGGCUACUGGCUAACACAUACUCAAAUAAACACAUGGGGAGGGGGAAAUGUGGUGUCCCGAGAUUCCACACACAACCAAACCACUAGACUGUAACAACGUGGUAAAAAUGAUUAUACUAUAAAUUUAUAGCUUACACUAAAUUUUUAUCAUUAAUAAUUAUAGGGUAAAAAUGAGAAAAUAUAAAAGGCUAUAUGAUUCUUCAAGGAGCAUCUAAAAAUAAGCUAUAAGCUGGUUUCCCGAACACUUUUCUUUUGAUCAAACAAGCUUAUAAGCUAGUCCAAUAAGUUAUAAGCUAGCUUAUCGACCUUACCAACCAAAUCCUUAGUACUUUGACCAGUAGUGUUUCUUAUCUUCUCUACCUCUAACAAUUGGACUGCUCUCUAUUUAGUAACCUUACCUACAUGACAUAUGCUUCUACAAGUCUUUCCUACAUGUAUAAAUCACCUAAAACAAGACUCAAGCAUCUUUUUUUACAAUGAGAGCCAUUCCAACUCUCUAAUGAUAUUGUUUCUAAUACUGCAUUAUUGGCACUAUGUUAGAUUAAUGGGUUGAGCAGAGCAAUGUAUUAUUAGUGUCAGCAAUAUCUUCGUCACCCACUAAAUUAUUCCCUUUUGCAGAAACAACUGGCCAAGGCAUUGGUUGCACCUGUGGAGUCCCUCUUUGAAGAAGGAGGAAAGGACACCUGGCUUUCAAUAAGAAAACUUCUGAAAAGUGAAACUGAAGCUGCUGUAUCAGAAUUUUCAGCUCAUGUUGCUGGUUUUGAGCUGGAAGAAGAAACUGUUGAAAAAAUGCAACAAAGCUUAAGAGACUACGCUAGAAAAUUGGUGGAAAAUAAAGCGCGAGAAGAAGCUGGAAAGGUUCUGAUUCGCAUGAAAGAUAGGUAAUGUUGUUGAAAAGAUAUCUAUACUAUAGUCAUUCAUUUGGCCAAUGUGUUUAAACCCAACCGUUAACAAAGUAAAGUUUGGAACAUGCAACAUAUUAUGGUUGCAACUUGCAACAGUGUAAAGGUAUCUAUUACUCAACAGUUUAAUGUGAUCCAAAGGUUUUUGGUGUUAUAACGGAUGCUACCUGAUGAUCUUUGAGAGACCCUGACUCUCUCCAAUUAAGAUGCCAAAUCUGCCCUACUUGACUUUGCACCCAUAUAAAUGAAAAGCUCAACAAAUAGUACAGAUGUUAUCCUCUGUUACAUGUCCAUUUUUCCUAAUGUAGACCCUUUUUAUUGUUGGCCUAUUAUCACAAUCUUCGGCUUGAAACUUGUAUUAGAAAAUUUGAUUAAUGUUUGAAGUUUUGCAACUCAAGAGUUGUAAUGAUAGUCCACUAUCUUCGUAGUUGUUGUUGUCUUUUGUUGGGAUAGAAUGCCAGAAGCACGGACGAAGUUGUUUUUGUUUCUUUAUAUGCUUAGUGAAUGUGUGAUUUCCAAGCAUUUCUUUGUGAGGCAUGCCAAGAGACAAUAUUUGCACUUAAAAACUUGUUCAAAGCAGUAGAGAAACACAGAAAACAUUUGUGGAAACAUUAUAAAGACCUUGUUUUAAAUGAGAUAAUGGUUUUACUAAGAUUUUGGUAUUUUGAAGAGAGAGAUGUAGCUGAUCCACUCAAUGAGAUAAGGAUAUGUUUUGUUAUUGUAAUUAUUUAUUUCCAUUUGUUUGUUUUGGAGGGUGCCCUUUAUUGUACUUGUACCUUUUCUGUUAUGCCGAAAUAACUUACACUAUUCCAGAUGUUUACUCCUUUUUUAUUUAAUUUUGUAACUUACUGGUUUCAAUAAUAAUUUUCAGGUUCUCUACAGUGUUUAAUCAUGACAAUGAUUCACUCCCUAGGGUUUGGACAGGGAAAGAAGAUAUCAGAGCUAUUACAAGAGAUGCCCGCUCGGCGGUACUUGAUUGCUAGUUCAAUGAUAAUCUUUCAACUUGCUCGUACUUGAUAUUAUAUUGUAAACAACACUUUUUAUUCACGAUGUAAAAUGUGUUUUUCCAUGUAACAGUCGAUGAAGCUUUUAUCGGAUAUGGCUGCUAUACGCUUGGAUGAGAAGCCAGAUCAAAUUGAAAGAGUACUUGAUUUGUCGCUCGUAAACAAAACCAGUGCUGCAACAUCUUCCCAGUAUACAGAUAGAGAAGCUUCUGUGGAUCCACUGGCUUCAAGCACAUGGGAGGAGGUACUUUAUUGUGUGUGAUAUUUGUGCUUCUACUAAUGUUGCUGCCACAGUUUUUUUUUCAUGCGAGAAUCUAUAUAAAAUGUAGGUUUCUCCUGGAGAUGUACUUAUCUCUCCUGUACAGUGCAAGUCUUUGUGGAGACAAUUCCAAGGUGAAACUGAGUAUACAAUUACACAAGCUAUUGCAGCUCAGGUAAAAUCAUUAUGUCACAUUUUUGUAUUGUCUACGUUUACUGCUUUCCCUUUAAUAAUUGAAUUUGUUUGCAGCUUUGGCCAACUUUUAUGCAGUUUGAGAUAUAAAACCAUUUAUCUGUUUUAGCCCAACUACAAAAACUUUUGGGAUAUACAUUAUAUGGUAACCGAACUUCUAUGAUCAAGUUGUUGGGAGCUUGAUCCUUACCACCUUUGUUUUUAAAAAAUAAAGUUAAAUUCAAAGUAAGUGUGGGAAUAAGCCUUUUCCACACUUGAAGUGAAAAAAGCUUGUGUGUGGGGGGAAGUGUGUUAGAAACUUAAACUUUUUUGACAGAUGGUUUGUGACAAUGUACACAAAUGGAAUCAUUAUUACCACAGUUAAUAUUUUGGCUGAAAUUGGAACCUAUUUAAUAAUAUGCUUUAUGUGUAUGCGUUGAUAAAGAGGGAAAAUCUGAAGGGGAGACAAAUUUCAAUGACUACGCACUUCAUAACCAUGUGUAUCAUGCUAUUUUGGACAUAAGAAUUCUUUUUAUGUCCGAAGUAGUUGGUAUUGGUUAUUGGAGUUACAACUUACAACUUACAACCAUAAUUGGAUGUUAUAAUAUUGAUUUUGAAUUAGAUCUUCAUCCAUUACUUUCAGAAUCCUGAAAACCUUGUAAUUUUCUAAAGCCUAGACAAAUAUGAAUUUGCUCUUGCAAGCACAAUCCUUAUUUUGAACUCUUAUAUGCAAAAACAGAAAUGCAAUAAAUGCAACAUUCGAUGCGCUUGCAAGUCCAAUAACCCAAGCAAGCUAUAUUCUGUAGAUAAAAAACGUGUUUGAAGGCCUUGUUCUAUAUGUAUGAGAUUUUCUGUGGUUGAAAAUAAUCAAUUGUGUUGAUUGUCUUGACCAAUGCUUUGAAAACUAAACCACAAAUUUAAAACGCAAUUGAUUCGACUGAUUUAACUAGUUGAAUAUUUAAGUUUUAGGUUGAAUUGUGAUUGAAUUGGACUAUUGAACCGAAUACAUGGCCGAUUCAUGGCCUAAAUAAUUCAAUUGGCCAAUCCGGUUUAGUGUUUAAAACAUUGGUCUUAUGCUUUGGUUCUCCUGUAUUCUUUGCUGUUAUUUGCUGGUUUUGUCGCGCUUCACUUGUCCAUUUUUAUGAUAAAACUGGUUUGGUUGGAGUAUUUCUUUUGCUUGUAAUAUGAGAAUAGUGUAAGUGCUAGAUUCUGUUUUUUUUUCCUCUUUCGUUCAUUAACCUUUUUUUUACUCUGUUCAUUUAGCUACACAUUUGAUGAAAAUGCCUUCUUGUCCUUCCUUUUUUCCUUGGAACUAAUCUGAUUUGAGGCACACUAACAAAUGUGCUAUUUACCUUUUGUUGUUCUGGAUUCAGGAGGCCUACAAGCGGAAUAACAAUUGGCUACCUCCUGCAUGGACAAUUAUGGCAAUGGCCAUAUUUGGUUUCAAUGAAUUUAUGAUGCUUUUAAAGUAAAUAUCACUCUAAAAUCUUGAACGCUGACUAUUUAUUUUUAUAUUUUAUCGGACCCUUAUUUCCAUCAGUUUAAUAAUUACAUCUGCUGAUUCUGAAACAGAAAUCCUCUCCUCAUAUUGGGUAUAUUUGUUGCCUAUCUACUUGGGAAGGCCAUUUGGGUACAGAUGGACGUAGGUGGAGAGUUUCGACAUGGCGCUGUAAGUUGUGUGGGCUCUUUCCUUCCGUUUUACUUUUUCCCACAGCUGGAUGCUUCUGUCCACACCCACACUCACUGAUCCACAAAGUUGUCAUGAGAUUUUUUUAUUUUCUUUUUAAAAAUAAAAUACUAUUUUACAGUGCAAAAAAUGAUGCUAUUCACUAAAUUAGAAGUAUGGUACUUUGGUUAGUUGGAUUUACCAGUGCAAAAAUUCUUAGUUGCCUUGUUGACGUUGGUUUGUUGGUAGUGAAUUGUAAAAGUAGCAACGAUAAGUAUAAGGGAUAUUUGAAUGUUUUUUAGCACUGUCUGAAUUUUUCUACUUGUGCAUAUUUUGUUCACAGCUUCCUGGGAUACUGUCCAUUUCGUCAAAGGUUGUCCCCACAAUUAUGAACCUUCUUAAACGUCUUGCCGAAGAAGCUCAGGGGAACCCAGCACCUGAAAGAACAGAACAACAUCAUUCAGAUUCUCAGAUAUUUAGAAAUGAGGUGUCAAAACCUGACUCGGUAUCAAGCUCAAUCUCCAAUACGGGUCUAUCUAGUGUUGCCUCAUCUGACGGUGAUGGUGAAUUCUCAACCACAAACUUGUCUCAGAGGCAAAGAACAAACGUUUCUGAAGCUGAAUCAUUAUAAUUUAUGUUGAAGAAGGUUGGCAUCAUAUUAUAAUAUGCACCUCCUAGUUGCUUUGAAAGAUCAGUUUUGUAUUUUACAGCUACAUUUUUACUUAUCAUAUUUUCUGUAACGUGUAAAUUAGAUGAUAAUAUGAAAAGAACCCCUAUUUGGGUUCUGUUCUGAUUACCACAUCUUCAGUUUGAGCGCAUGAAACUGAUUAAUCAUUUCCCCCCUUUAUUUUAUUUUCGCAGCGAGGGGCUAGUUUUCCAUUAAUGCAGUUGCUUUUCUCCCACCACCAACAUGAAAGCAUUUUAUUGUCUAUUCUUCUUGGCUUUUAGUGCGUAUUACAUCAUUUCUUCCCAAUCUCAAUUACUUGACCGAAACGAAAUUAACAUUGAAAAGUAACAAAUUAGAAAAACCAGUGUUGCUUACUAACACUAAUGUAUAUUUAAAAUAUUUAAAUUAACUUUUGUAGAAGACACCUUACUUGACAUCUUUAUGACGUCAAUUACUAUUGUCUUAGUGGGUUCUUCUUACUUAAAAGUUUUGAUUUGAAGUUUAUCUCAAUUUUAAUUUUAAAAAUUAGUGUUCAAUUAUAUCUAAACAAAUGUUAAUUCACAUUUAAAUUAUUGUUAAUCAAAAUUAAUUCAUUAUUUUUCAAAUACUAAAGCUCCAUGGGACAUUUUUAACUCAUGAAGGUUUCACGCUCAAGUGUUAAAUUGAGAAAUACAUGAUCAUCAUGUAUAUAAGUUGUGUUCAGAUAACAGCAUCAAUUUACACAAUCGUAUUUGCCCACAGACUGCAGUUAAAGCUUUUCCGCAGACAAAAUAACUAAUUAGAUUAAGAAUGGUCUUUGCUUAUGCUGUUAAAAAGGAUAGAUAUCACAUAGUUACAAAUGCAAAAGUCACAUGUAUUACUGUAGUUUGCCUCAUCCUAUAUCGUGGAUUUGUUAAUGAAGCACCAAAUAUCAACACGAAGUGAUAGGAAUUAUCGUACCAGCAAACACUGUGUCUGAAGACACCUAUCUUAAACUUCGUUUCUAGAGGCACAUUCCUUUUGUUUGCCAGCUUCAAAUCCUCAGCAAGUGGAUACUUUGUUCUUUUCUCCGAGUUUCUUGGGGGAAAUCAAUACAAAACUCUGGCACAGGAUAAUAAACAAGGGAAACAACUCAGCAACAUCAGAAGUUUGACCCAUGCGACAAACAUGUCAAACAAUUGGAAUUGCAGCUUAAGAAAAUUACCAUUCAAUCCUUGGGUUGUUUCUUCUGGCAUAGACUGCGUAAUUUUGAAAUGGUCAGAUCUGCACCUCCAAACCCAUCCACAGUGGCAAGAGCUAAGGGGAACUCAGCUCUAGAUGUCAAACUGCAGGAAACAAUUACAAAUAAGAAACAGUUACACCACUUAAAAAAAAUAAUAAUCAGAACUCUGUUGAUGAUAAUUGAUAAGGAACUUCCGCUGAUAUCUGCAACAAUUAUCCAUACAUGUUCAUCGAACUUUUAAGAAUAGAACAACCACCUGCUCCGUAGAACAACACAUGGCAUGCCCGCCCGUUCAGCUCCAGCUACUCCAGAUUGGCUUCCUGCAACAAGGACACAGUUGCAGAGAGGUAGCCCUGCAUAUUCGGCUCCCGCAUGUAGUGCAGCCACAAUCUUAUCUAGACUGGACAGAUGGUCAACAUAUUUAAUGACAUUUGACUACAACAUUAGUAUUUGUUUAUGUUACUGAAAUCCAGAUCAAUCACUCAUUUUCCAAUUGAUAAGUUGUUAAAUGCCAAUAUAUGUUCAUAAGCUCUUGCUUUGGGCGUUCUGGCUAACUUAAUAAUAGUGUUUUAGAAUAGCUAUGAGUUGACAAAGAAAGAUAAUUCAAUAUAGCUAUGCAAAUAAAUUGCAGUUUUAAGGAAACUCACUUUUUAACUUGUAAUCAAAAUUCUUUAUUAAAUUUAAAAUCAUAUAGGAAGGAAAUCAAACAUGGAUAAUUUAUAAAAGCUGACAGAGCACAAUGAUUACAUAAAUAUGAAGGAACCAUUUCUAUGAUUGCCUCUAAAAGAUUCUUUAAGACUUUCAGUUUCUCGGCCUUAGUUAUUUGGCUUGGCUUGUCCAAGAUCAACUGUAAGCUGUCACCAAUAAUCUUGGGCAAAAUCACUUCGUCGAAGAUAGUGAGCCAUAAUUCAUCUCAAUUCUCACUAAAGAAAUGAACAUUUAUCUUAACAGUAUUCAAAAAUAAAAACUAAAACGAUGACCAUGAAAUCCUUUUUUUAUUUUUUGUUCAAAAAUAUCUCUAGAGAAUUGAACUAACCUUUCAGAUAAGCUGGUAUCAAUCUCAACACUUAACUUAAGCACGGAUGCCACCUCCUUUGCUAUUCUUUGUCUCUCAGCAGAAGCUAGACAAAAUAACAGAAAUACAAAGCACCUCAGGAAAAAACAUAGUGAAGUAUAUGCAUGCAUGAGCUACACAUACAUAAUGAAAACUCAAGAAGCACAUACCUGCUCUCGUGGCUUCCUUGGCAAGUUCUUCAUCCAAACCAGAAGCAAUCACCUUUCCUGAGACAAGUUGGCCAUAUAAACUUUGCCCAGCCUCCUCAAUCCCCACAAUCAUCACCUUUUUGCUUCGAUCAUCGCCAAGCUUUUCUAUUAUGGUCCUAAAAAUUAUGGUAAGCACAAGGCAAAACGAAAAAAAUAUCAGUGUUCUCACGUUCUCCCCUGGAAAAUAAAUGUGGACGCUAAACAAGCAAAGAGCAAAGAUCAAAAUAGUGGACUGUGAACCUUAGAUCCCCUCAAAUAUUGAUGUUUUUUACAGAGCUCAAAGAAUAUGCAUUGUAUUAAGUAUGAACUCAUAAACCGUGAACUUCAUUUAACCUAGUUCAGUCAUCCAAUAAAGAUUAUUUUAUAUAACUACAAGAAAAUACCGAGACAAAAAGAGAGAAAACUGAAGAGGAGUAGAGAGAGGGAGAGAAUGAAGACAAUGAAUGGAUAGGUGCACUAAUUAUAUGUAUUUAUCUGUAUCCGGUGCAUUAACUUAGACCAGCAGCAUACCUUCACUUAGGUAUUCCACUAGGCUGAAGACCAAUUAGUCCUCUUACAUGCUAGAGUGUAAUGAUCAUGUGCUCUAAGUUUAUCCAAAUAAAGCAAGCCCAAACGCACCCAUCCCCUCCACCAUAAGAUUGUCCUAGUUAGUACUGUUGUAAAGUUUCAAAAUUAAAUAGAAGUACCUGGCAAUAUUAUCACCACUUUUACUGUAGGCUGUCAAUAUUACCACCGGAAUUCCUUCAUUGUAUGCGUCAUCAAUAAACCUGUUAAUGGAGAUGUUACUCUAUGUUGAGAAAUAAAAACAGAUUAAAGUUCAGCACUCACCAAGUUCCAAAACUUACUCCGUAUCUGAGAAACAUAUGAACCUUUUUAAGAGAAUUAAUACACAUAAUUGGAGCAUAGUUCAGUAUUACGAAGCAAUGGAGACAAGGAGAAGCAUCGUAAAUUGAGAUUUCCAUAAGAAGAAACAGGUAAGAUAAACACGAAAUUACACAUCCAUGGACUUGCAUAAGUAGCUUUACUUCAUUGUGGCUGCUUAUCAAAUCUAUUGCAAAUCAAAUUUACUACUAAUAAAGAAGCACCAAAUAAUGUCCUAUACCAAAACUAUCCUUACGUCUGGGCCGAGAAAAAAUCUCAACUAACAAAUAAUCUCUGUUACCACAUAAAAUUGUGAAAUAAACUCCAGCAAAAUGAUUAUUUGAUAACCACUAUGUAAAGGAUGGCUUGGUAGGAGUUGAAAUACUAGAAAAAUCUGAUAUUGUUCACUAACUAAUGUGGGGGGAAAAGUACACGCAUAUGUACACAAUUUACAGAUGCAAAGAAUCCCUGAAAUUUGGGUUGAAAAGGAUAACUAUGAUGAUAUCUAUUCUAACUAUGGAAACUAUCAUAUCAAAGAAUAAAAGGGAAGCAGGAAAGAACCAUGGAUAUAAGAAUCAUAAUCAACACUAUCUUAGGUGGAGUAUAAGCCAUUUGCAUCCUCUUGAUACAUAAGUUUUCUAUCCAAGGACUCCACAAGGAUUUCAUAAAAAUGCCUACUAGUUGAUCCUUGGGACUCAUAGAAGAGGUCUUGAUGAUGCCUUCAAGACCCCUCGAGAUUUCUCUCUUUAACUAAUGUACAUAUUGCUCCCCUAACUUUAACUAAAAAGUAUAGCUCCUUAAGGGAUAGAUCUCCAUAAAUAAAGGACAACUUGGUUCUAUGCAACUCCUACUAUGGCUAGGUCCGUGGAAGAGCAAGACCUAUUAAUGACCUAUUAUACUUAUUUUACCUUGUAUUUGCAAGAAGUUGAUUCCAUAACUCUUUCAUGUGACCUCUAGUCACCCAACAACUAGGAGAUGACGAGUUCAACGACUGAGGUAAUGUUUUUGUGUUGUAGAUUCAUAUUAAAUGACACAAAACAAAUAAAACACACGCUCAAACACAAUGAUAUUCAUUGAAUGAUAGAUAACUCACUGUUCAACACCAGGGCGUAAAGAUAGACUUUUAGAUGUCACAAACUCUCCCAAAGCCUUUUCCUGCCAAUAUGUCAUGAAGAGUUAUAUAGGACGCUUCACAAGUUCUUGUCAUCUUAUUCUCAAGUUAUCUUAUCCUUGACAUGAGUAAACGGAAAAACCAUUUCACCAUUUGGGGCAAGAUUUUAGCCUUUUAGGUUAUUGGGAUAUAAAAUCUAAUUCCUAGAGCUUCAAUAUCAAGUAAUAAUUAAUCACUUCAAUAGCUCAUGAUAUCAUUUUUGUUUAUGACAGAGUCGGUAUCAUAUUCAUAGAGAAAGUAGAAAAAGCAAUCUUAUCCAGACUCCAGAGAAUCAACAAACUAUAGCAUGUAUGAAAAUACGAUGUUUUGGGGAAAUAAUCCUUAUUUCAAAAGUUAUUUUAGGAAACUUUAGAUUAAAAUAUUUUUCAGCCCAAAAUAAACUAAUCCACAUUUGUAAACAGACAAGAGCUUUAAGAAACUAUUCCUCAAAUAGGAGAUUGAGUACGGAACUAAAUGGAAAGUUUACCAAUUCUUAGAGGGACGAAGAUUUAAGAAACUUAGAGAUUUUAAUAAAUUGCAUGGGUUUAAUUACACUCAGCAAACUUAGGAUCAUAUAUACAAAAAAGUAUUAAUUAUGAGAAUUCAAUUAAACUAUAAGACUAAUAAAUACGAAUAAAUGAAUAAAACAUUUACUAGAAUAUUAAAGUUCCAAUGUUGACAUCAGUUAACUUCAAUGGAAAAUUCCUACACAAGACUUUUAACCUACAAGAAUCCAAAACCAAAAUUCUUCAGCCUGAUUUUCUCCCCUCAAAAUCAUGAUUCAUCGUGAAAACCAAUGUGAGAUGUCUGAUCAAAACGACUUAUUCCUAAUUAUAGGUCUAUAUUUAUUCCAAAUUCAUUUGGCCCGUCCCACAUCUAAAAAAUAUGGAGUUCUGUUUUCACAUUAAACAGUUAAUCUGAAUUAUGAAAUACAACUAGUUUGGUUUUUGUCAUUGAGGUUGAUUCUACUUGUAGUAGCCAUAUUGAUGAUCUCUAACUCUUAAGGCUGUCUCCCUCAUAACACUUCAUUUGCUUGUUUAGUACAUCGAACUAGUCUGGCAUUUAAAAAAUGCCAUUUUCCAUGAAAAACUUGCAUAAGAAGAUUAAAGGGAAACUCAGGAUUAGGUUGCUGUUGGUGUAGCUUUCUUCAUUUCUAAGUCUUGCUUCUCUCAAUAGAAGCUUCAAACAAAUUAAUCAUCUAAGCACCAAGAAAUUUUCUUGUUGCAAGGAGAGAAGGUCAACAAUGGACAAACUUUUCAGUCUAACAACAAAGCACCGAAUAAAUAUUUGAAAUGGCAAGAGAAAAAGGUUUCUGUACCUAACUAUAGUUUUGGAAUUUGUAAAGGAUAUAAUGCAUAUAAUUCGAAAAUAGGUGAUAUUCAAUUGGGCAUUUAUACACCAAAACUAUAGGAAUGGAGAUACCCAUUUCUUUUAAGAAAUUGAGAUAAUCUCUACUCCUACUAGGGAAUAUGUUCUUCUUAGAGUAUUAAACUAGAGCCACAACAGAUCUUUCGUUAUAAAGAGAACGUUUACAGUCUUAUUAUAAGCACAUUAAUUAAGUACAUGUAAUAUGUAUCCCAGUCCUCACUCCUCAUACACCAAAGAAAAAUCAUAUUAAUCAUUAGAAAACAACCAAGUGUAAGAACGUUUACCUUUUCCUGUAAAACACUUUUUGUGAAGAGUCCCUUCUCAUUUGUGGGCAGUGAUGAAGGCCACCCGAUCUGUAUGUUAAAGACAAUCAAUGACAGCAGAACAUGGCGUAAGUAAUGUUUGCAGUGAAGAAAACAAUCAAAAAAUAUCAAUAGACCUAAUUUCUCCCCUAUACCACAGACAAAAGAUGAACAACUUACUCGAUUAAAAUACAGGAACAACAUCUUUUCCUCAUCUCCAGCGCUUCUUCUGAAAAUUUAUUAGAAAAUGGUUUAUAAACAAGUGAAGCAGCAUAGGUAUUUGUUCAUAUAAAUUUCCAUUUCAGUACUAAAGAUGUUUCAAGUAUUCAAUUACAUUAGCGAUUCUAGAUUCUACACAGUCAGGAAAAGCAUGCAGUCAAGAGAUCCCAACUGUUAAUUGAAGAUCAGAUGACUUGUAUUACGAGAUGUAUAUUUUAAAGUGGAUUUGGUAAAAUCAUAAUACAAGUCUAAUCUUCAUCUUAUAGUCGAGAUCCAUGACCACAUCACUGCACAAAAUCCAAACCCUUAACAAAUAAGGCUUCAAUGAAAUUCAAUGCAUUGAUUAACAUGAUCUCAUGAAAUCUAAUUGAGCAAUCAAUUUCCAUUAGAAUUUAGAAAACAAGCAUAAGCAAAAUAACAAUGUAAUAAACAACCAAAAAAAAUAAAUUAAAACACCUUAAAAGAUCUGUAUAGACAGGUUCAUUCCAACUCGCACAAUCAAGUCCAAGCUUCUCAAAUGCUGCAAUCACAACAUCAAAUUCGAAAAAAUGACACCGCAUUACACUCCAUGAACACAGAAAAACACAAACACACAGACUACAGAAUUAUUGACGAACAACUUCGUAGCAUAGCACCGACACUUCUGAUUGAAGGCGUAUCUGGUGUACGUGUUAGUGUCCACAUCAAACGGCACCGACACAUUGAAUUUAUCGUUUCCUCGACUAUUAUCGGUGUUAAAGUGUCAGUGUCCGGUUUCCAUCAUAUAAAUUAAACGGUAAGCAGUAACACAGAAUAAUUGUUGAUACCUUUAUUGAACGCUAGUCGAUUCCCUACACGAUACGCAUCAACAAGAACCCUAAAAAAUCAACAAUCACAACAAUUCAAACGAAACAAAACAAAACAAGAUUACAGUUAAGCAGAGUGAAAACGCAAUUGUUCCAAUGCAGAAGAGAAAUGAAAAAUUAACCCGUCGACUUCGAGAAGAACGGCGAAGUCAUUCGACGUGAUGUGGCUGUCGUCGUCAUCGGCGGAGAAAACGGCGGCGGUGUGGCGCGGAGAUUUGCCGGGAAAAACGAAAGGGGGAAAUUGAAGAGAAACGGUUACGUUUGGAAAGAAGCGCGUGUUAUUGUUAAAGUUGAAUGUGCGUUGAAUACGAAUGCGUUGGAUAGUUGAACAUGAAGUUGCUAGUGACUGGGUUAUUGUUGCCAUUGGUAACUAACUCAAACUAUGCUAUGCAGCUUAGCUAUUAUUAGCUCAAAUUCUCUAUAAGUAAGAUAUUUUUCAAUGCUGUAUAAAGUCGUAGGUCAUAGACACAUUUUGACAUAAUAUUCUAAUUCUGUUUUGUCUUCUUCUUUCUUUUGAUUAAAUUUUAAUUCUGUUGUUGUAACUUUCAAUUCUUUUUUUAUUUCUUCCUUCUAACAGUUAUCUGAAAUGUUUUACUCGAUCGAGAAACAACGGACUUUAAUAUAAAAAUAGCGUUGAGCAAGGAUAGUGUCAUUAAGAUUCCCUUAUUGGAAAGAAUGAAGAAAACCGUUAUUGCAAUUUUUCUUUUCGGUUUACUUAAUAUUUGUUUUAUGUUUACUUAAUAUUGGUUUGAUGGUUAUUUUAUAAAUAAAGUUUAGCAAUGUAUCCACAAGUGUUUGAUUUAUCGAAAAGGAUGUCAACAUUGUACAUAUCAAAAAAACAUGUCAAUGUAUAAUUGAUGUUGUGACUGAAGUUUGAACUCGGACUCUUCACUUAUGUGUGGAUUUUCAAUGAAAAUUGUGUUUAUGAAACAAAAAAAAGUUUUGCAUUUUUUUCUCAUAAACUAAGGUUAUUUCUUUUGCCCUCAUUGCGCGUGUUGUUGUUACGGUCCAUAAACUCAACUAAGGUAGCAUGUUUCUCUUUCAUUAAGGUUAAUUAAGUUUUUGGUCCCUAUAAAUAUCUGCAGUUUUGUUUUUAAUCCCUAUAAAAAUAAGUCAUACUUUUUAGUCGCUACAAAAUUUUUCAUUAGUGUUUUUAAUCCCUGUUAAAUUAAAAUUUGUUUAAUUAUGCUUAAAAUUUAAAAAAUUUUAAUAAUUUUUUACAUAUUUGUUUAAAACAUUAUAAAAGGUUCCGCCAAAAUAAAUUAGCUCAAAAUUUUAUUUUUAGGUUCAAAUUUUUGUUAGUUUUAUCUUGAAUUUUUGGCGUUUUAAAAAAAUUAUAUUUAAUUUUAAAAAAUUCUAAUUUUUUAUAAAAGAGAUUAUUAUAAUGUUCUUAACAUGUCUGUUAAAAAUCAUUUAAAAAUAUAAAAGUUUAAGUAUAAUUAAACAAAUUUCAAUUUAACAGGGACCAACACAUACUUUUAUUCCUUGUAAAAUUAAAAUUUGCUUAAUUGUGCUUAAACUUUUAAAUUUGUAACAUAUUUUUCACAUACUUACUUAGAAUAUUAUACAAAGUUCCUCCGCAAAAAAGUAACUUAAAAUUUUAUUAUUAGGUCCAAAUUUUCAUUAAUAUAAUCUUGAAAAUUUGGCUUUUAGAAAAAUUCAUAUUUAAUUCAUUACAUGUUAAAAAACUUAAAAAGUUUUACAAAAGAAUGUCUUACGAUGUUAUGAACAUGUAUGUAAAAAAUCUUUCAAAAAUUUAGAAGUUUAAACAUAAUUAAACAAAUUUUAAUUUAACAGGGACUAAAAACACUAACAGAAAAUUUUGUAAGGACUAAAAAGUGUGAUUUAUUUUUAUAGGGACUAAAAACAAAACUGCAGAUAUUUAUAGGGACCAAAAACUUAAUUAACCCUUAAAAAAAUAGAUGUAUUUAUAAUCUCCAAUCCUCUAGCAUUAGAUUGCUAUUAAUGGUUUAGAAGUAUCUAGGUAAGAUAUGAGUAAAGAUCCUCUACAUUUGCUUAAUACUAUUUUUGAUCUCAACUCGCAAUUUUCUUGGGGCAUAAUUCAAAUUCGAGUUUUCUCAAAUUUAAGUCGAACUAAUUACUUGAACCAAAUCGAUUACCAAAUUUGUUUUUAUUAGCAUUAAGCACCAGGUCUAUUAUUUAGUUUGGUUGAUCUUGAAGAACCUCACAAAUUUUUAGCAGUAAGUAUAGUUCCUCAAGAGCCUCAAGUCUUUCUAUAACUAAGUACAUCAUCAAUGCAUGUAGAGUCUGAGAUUUUUUAGCGUUACAUACAUUCACGAGCCUCUAUUUUUUUUUUUUUUUUGAGGGAAAAGUGUUUAAUGCAUUUCAUUAGUAAUCAAAGUUUCAAUACAAUUGGAUAUAUAUGAAAAUAAAUUGUGGGACAAACGAGAAAUGUGGCUUCCCCUACGAGAGUGUGAGCCACCACAUUAGCUUGUCGCCGAACAAACUCCACCCGAGAGUUGGUAAACUUGGACGAGAGCAAAGACCGGGAAGCCGUGAUGAUGUUACCAAAUUCUGUUAUGUCUUCCUGACCCGAAUAUAGAGCAUCUUUUAUGGUUUUAGAGUCGACUUCAAAAUCAAUAUUAUCAAGGUGCAUAUCACUAGCCCAUUGAAGCGCAUGGUAAAGACCCAAAGCUUCCUCAAUGUCAAUCGGAUAAACACCAAUAAAACUUAUUGUUCUGGCCAAAACAAAGACCCCACCUUCUUCACGGAUGCAAAUGUCGAUGCUCGUUUUGUUACGGUGACUAGAGAAUGUCGAUGCUCGUUUUUAGUGCCGGACAUAUUUUUGGUUCCCACUUUCCACAGCCUCAUCUCCAUUUCUUUUUGGUGCCAUCACCUCAAACCUAAGUUUAAGUUUAUAUAAAUUCUAGAAUUAUCAACUUCGUUUCUAUAUCAUCACGUUUCCCUUUCACUUUCGUCUUGUAUUUCCAUUUUCAAUUUCUAACUCUCCGUUUUAUUGCUUUUGGUUUUAUAUCUCACUCUCCCCUUUUAGAAAUCCUUAUAUCACCGUGUUUAUCACAGUUUCCUUUUUGUUUUUAUGUUUAUAUAAUAAAAUGCUCUUAUAUUUGCAUUUUUAUAUUAAAUUUUGUUGCAUUUAUAUAUUUUAUGUUGUUUUUAAAUUUAAAUUUGAAAAAAAAAUAUUAGAUUGUUAUGAAAUUUUUUUAGAAAAAAAUGUUCAGACAAACGAUAAUUAGUCUUUAAAUUUGCUAUAAUUUAAGCAUACAAUCAGAUUUAAAAGAAUCGAGCUAUUAAGGAUAAUUUUACCCAAAAAAAUACGUCCGAUCAAAAAAUUGUUAACACGCAGUUCACUUUGGAAUUGCCUUUAUAUAAUGGUAUAGAGAUUUUAUUAACAUUUUAAAAAUUGUUUUUAAAAUAUAUCCUUUAAAUUACUCCUUUCCUUGCUUCAUUUUUGUGCCUUUAUAUAAUGGUACAGAGAUUUUAUUAACAAUUAGAUUUUAAAAAUUGUUUUAAAAAUAUAUAUACCUUAAAUUACUCCUUUCCUUGCUUCAUUUUUGUAUUAGCUAGCUAAAUUAACCAUUUUCAUGAAGAAGAAAAAAAAAUGAAAGGGUGUAGAGCUUAUUAAUUUGUGGAAGGUCAGCAUAACUACUCAAUCAACUUCAUAUACUUAGUCAUAACCAAGUCCACAUUUGAGUAAAAAAGGAACAAAAACUCAGAUCAGUUUCAUUGCAGUUUACAUAUGACAUUAACUAGUUCAAAUUUACAAUAUGAGCGCAUAAAUAUUAUAAGAUCCAUCCACACAAUGAGUCAACAAUAAAAGCACCCUCCUCUCAUAAUCACCCUUCCUCCAUCCUUGUUCAAUAUCAUCCUCUCUUGUCUGAAAAUCACCAUAAACAAUACAAAAACAACACAAAGUCACCAAUUUAGUCCUCAAAUUUGCAAUACACUAUUAACUUAGUUCCUAAAAAUAACAAAAUUUCAUUGAAUUAAAAAAAUUCUCACUCACAUUUUAUGUUUGACAAUUAUAGUACUAAAUUGAAUGGUUAAAAAGAUACUAAAAUAGCAUGAUCUACAAUUCAUUUUCAAAUAACUUAGAUAUGGUCUAACUCAACUCUUACAAAACAGAUUUGUGAGGUUAGAACUAUUGAUCACUUAUAAACACAUUUUCAAGCGUAUAUUAGUGUGAGACUAUUUAUUAACCAUAAUUGUAAAAUGUUAAUCAAAUUCGUCCUCUAAUUUCAACAAUGUGAGGAAUAAACUUGUACAAUACUACAAUUUAACCAAUAUAUGGAUAUUUACUCAAUCUCAAUGACUAAAUUAGCAAUUGAAUAAUAAAAAUUUCAUACAAUAAAUAAAAACUUAAAAGAGAGUUUGAGUUGAACCUUGUUGUAAACAAAAGAAACUUAGACAUCCUUGGCAAUGAGUUCACCAUUCACCAACUCUCUAUAAGCAGCAAUAGGCCAACUGAACCCUCUAAAAACCAAUCUAGAAGCAAGAGGAACAUCAAU
RNAcentral lists this long non-coding RNA (46260 nucleotides) under Medicago truncatula (barrel medic). Its description in RNAcentral is "long non-coding RNA (MTRU_LNC008163)". The record is from RNAcentral. Lineage: Eukaryota; Viridiplantae; Streptophyta; Magnoliopsida; Fabales; Fabaceae.